RNAcentral lists this long non-coding RNA (83460 nucleotides) under Durio zibethinus. RNAcentral's name for it is "long non-coding RNA (DZIB_LNC001320)". The record is from RNAcentral. Lineage: Eukaryota; Viridiplantae; Streptophyta; Magnoliopsida; Malvales; Malvaceae.
AUCCAUCACAUAUUUUUGUUGUGAGAUGAAAAUACCGUGCCGUGAGUGAGCUACUUCAAUUCCUAGGAAGUACUUCAAUCUCCCUAGCUCUUUUAUCUCAAAUUCUCUAGCCAAACACUGUUUUAGAGAUUCUCUCUCUUUUUCAUCAUCUCCAGUUACAAUUAUAUCAUCAACAUACACUAAUAGAACUAUGACUCUCCCUGAAUCAAAGUGCUUGAUAAACAAUGUGUGAUCUCCUUGACUCUGUUUAUAUCCCAUUGCUAGCAUCAUUUUGACAAAUUUCUCGAACCAAGCUCUAGGAGACUAUUUAAGGCCAUAUAAAGCUUUUUUCAGCUUACAUACUUUGUUUGCUUCUAGAUGACCUCCAAAUCCCAGUGGAACCUUCAUAUAUAUUUCUUCUUCCAAAUCACCAUGUAGAAAAAUAUUCUUUACAUCAAAUUGUUGAAGCUGCCAAUUGUAAUUUGCAGCCAAUGAUAACAAAAUCCUAACUGUAUUCAUCUUUGCAAUCGGAGCAAAGGUUUCCUAGUAAUCUAUUCCAUAGGUUUGAGUGUAGCCCUUAGCCACUAACCUGGUUUUAUACCUUUCAACAGUACCACCUGUCUUGUAUUUUACAGCGAAAACUCAUUUACACCCCACUGAAUUUUUUCCUUUAGGCAACUCUACCAAUUCCCAGUCUGAUUUUUCUCUAAGGCCUCUAUUUUUAUUUUCAUUGCUUGCCUCCAUUUCUCACUAGAUAAUGCCUCGGAUAAUGUAGUUGAAACAAAAAUAGUGUUUAGGCUCAUAAGAAAAUUUUUGUGGGAUGGUGAGAAUUUUUCAAAAGACACAAAAUUAGAGAUUGGGUAUAGUGGAUGCUUAGUACAUUCUCUGGUUUCUUUCCUAAUGUCAAUAGGCAAAUCAUAAUCACUAGUUAUAGUUUUAGGAGAUUCAUGCUCAUUUUGAGAAACAGAGUCAAAAAUUGUAGUUACCUCAUUUUCAAAGUUAGGAUCAGUUUCUUGGACUGGCACUGGUUCAGGAUCUGAAACUUUCCUUCUUGAGUACACUUGUAAUUCCUUCAUAGAAUCAAGAACAAUAUUAUCCUUUGUCACAUCUUUCGUAUUUGGAAUGGGUUCAGACUCAAAUUCAGUGUUUGACUUGGGCUUAGCAGAAACAGGUUUCGGCUCAGAAGAAUUAAUCGAUGUAAAUGUUGAAGAAGGGGGCAAAUCAUGCAAAAAGAAGUCUUUAUCCUUAUCUUCCAUGAAUGAAAUCUCCCCUGGAGAUAAUGAUGAGUAAAAAAUGAUUUAUUUUCUUCAAAAGUGACAUCUGCAGACACAAAAUUUUUUGUUAGGAGGAUGAUAGUACUUAUAUCCUUUUUGAGUUGAAAAAUACCCCACAAAAAUACACUUAAUCGCUCUUGGAUCCAACUUUCUCCUGUUAUGACUGUGAACAUGAACAAAUGAUGUACAACCAAAUAUUCUAGAUAUGAGAUUGUUUGUGGUAUUGAGGUUAGGAUAAAAUUGUGAAAGUAGUUCUAUAGGAGUUUUAAAUCCCAAAAAUCCUUGAAGGUAACCUAUUUAUAAUAUGUGUGGCAGUGAGAACAGCUUCCCUCAGUAAAAUUUAGGUACAUUUGCUUGAAAAAGAAAAGCUCAGGUUGUGGGUAAUAAAUGACUGUUUUUUCUCUCUGUCACUCUAUUCUACUGUGGAGUAUUAACACAAGAUGACUCAUGGAUAAUCUUCUCUUUUUGAAAAUAGGUAGAUAGACUCUGGUUGAAGUAAUCUCUUACAUUAUCAGACCUAAAUCUCUUGAUUCUCACUCCAAAUUGAUUUUGGAUCAUGUUUUGGAAGCUUAAAAAUAUACUAUUCACAUCUGAUUUGAAUUUAAGUAAAAAAACUCAAGAGACCUUGGUACAAUCAUCUAUGAAUAAAAAAAAUCAUCUCGCAUCAGAAAUAUUAAGAAUUGUAGAGGGACCCCAAAUGUCACUAUAAAUCAAGAAAAAGGGAGUAGAACUUCUUUUAUUACUGAUUGAAAAAGACACACGUCUAUGCUUUGCAAGUUCGCAAACAUCAUAAUGAAAAUCUUCGACAUUUAAUCCUUUGAACAAAGAAGGAAACAUGUUUCUUACGGUUCCAAAAGAAGGAUGUCCAAGACGAAAAUGAUAAAGCCAGAUCUUGUUUUUAUUGAAAGAUUUUUCAUAAAGAAAUGACAAAGGUAAACUAUUCUUGAUACUACUUGUGUUAUUUGAUGUCUCAAGAUAGUAUAGUCCAUCAUUCUCCUUAGCAAGUCCAAUCAUCUUCCCCAAACUCUGGUCCUGAAAUUCACAAUAAGAGGGAUAAAAAGUUAUUUAUUCAUAUCUCUGGUAAAUUUUUGUAUAGAUAUCAGAUUAGUAGACAAUCUAGGAACAUGAAGAACAUUUUUUAGAACAAACGAGAGAUUAACUUGAACAUCUCCUAAUCCUGCCACUUGUGGUAAGUGAACCAUCUGCAACAACAAUUUUCUUAUUACUAGGAUACAGGUUAUAUAUGUAAUAAACUUUUGUGAGGAAUGUGUCAUGUGGUAUGUGGCUCCUGAGUCAAUGACCUAAGAACUUGUAAUAGGCUUAGCUGAGACAUUUAAUCCAUGAGAACCGGAAGCUUUACUUGAACUAGAAACCUUACCCAAAGAACAUACCACAGUAGGCUUUUCAAUGAUUUUCAAUAAGUUUCUCAGCUUUUCAAUCUCUUCUUUGUCGAGCUCUCCUUGCUUCUGAGACAUCUAUAGUACUCUAGUGAUUUUUUCAGUUAAUAUUUCCUCAAAUUGGGUGGUAGUGAUAUCUUUCUUUGAAAAGGUUCGGCAAUGAAGGCCUAAAAAAGUCAGCAAUGAAGGUAGAAAAUUUUGCUUCUCAAGAAGAGCCUAAAGCUCUGAUACCAUGUGAAAAAACUAAUAAAUAAAUCAGUGUGAAAACCGAAUGUAUAUUGAAAAACUGCUUAUUAAGAAUUAUACAAGAAUCUUAGGUUUAUAUACAACUAACUAGGGGUUAAACUAGGAAACUAAAUCUUCCUAAAAAACUAAUCUUAUAAUUGAGGGAUUGUCUAUCCUAAUUUUAGGGAUACAAAUACUUAAUUUUAGAGAUACAAAUAUAAAUAUACAGAUUACAAAAUUAUAACUAGCUGUAAAUAAGUGUUUUUCCACAUUAACAUCCCUUUCACUUGGAGAAAACAUGAUGAAAUCUGCUAUAUGUAAAGACUAUUUGCUGAAAAUGUUGUGCCAUCUGUUGUAAUUCAUAAUUUGUAGCAUAUUGAGGUCUGUUGAUUUGUCAAACUUCAGCCAUGAGUUUAACAUUUUCCGACCUUAACCAGAAAUAAAUCCGGUUGAACAUGUGCUUAUGUUCGGUGGUGGAGCUAGGCAUCCACUCAACCCCACCCCAUUGUUUUACCUUCUAUGCCUUAACAUACAGACAGACACAGUGAACAAUUUAGCAUUGUUUUAAAUUGCUUGUGUAACUUGGACAAAGUUACAAGAGAAUUUUCCCAUGCUAUUGCUUGGAGUUUUUGUCUUCUUUCCUUUUUCUCAUCUUUUCUUUUGUUAAUUUAUUUUAAGCCUACAUGCUUUCUUGUACCUUUAAUCGCCACCAGUGCAACGGAGGUGCUGCCAAUAUAAAAUCAUUCCUUUACCUUAGAGUCUAUCACUUGAAGGAGCAAAUUUUUGUCGUCCAAGUUCAUGAGCAUUCUGGAUUUAAAUUUUUUUUCCCUUUCUUUGCAAGUUGUUAGAAAGGCUUUCAUGGGGCCAAGUCAUGGUAUUCCACUACCUAUAUCAGUGUAAAUUAGACAGGAAGUACUUAUUGUUUCAAUUAAAGAUUAGAAAAGGAGAUAAUAGUUUAAAUGUGUAGGCUUUCUAGUAAAUUUUUUAUGGUAUUAUAGUUUACCUCAAUGUGCAAAGUGAAUUAUUUCAAUGGACAACAACAUUAACAAUAGGUGAUUUUGUGCUUUUGAUCUCAUUUACAUACGAUUUCCUGUAGCAUCUACUGAAGUUUUCACUCCAUUUAGAUGGGAACAAACUAUAAAGUAGCACUAAUUCUGCAAGAAUAGGGGAGACAAUCCAUGGAUGGGGUAAGGAGGCAAGGAGAAAGAGGAGGCAUGGGCGUUUCAUCGAUGAUUCAACCAUACAUACAGACACAAGCACGGUAAAGUCACUUGAGGAAGAUGAUCGCCAGUUGAUUGAUAUUCAUGAAGCUGGCGAUGGUAGAUACACUGAGAUAGAGUUGCAUCCGCCACUUAAUGUUAUCAAAUCCAGUCCUUCACCAGCUACUAAUGAAACUUCGAGUAGGGUUGGUACACCUCUACUUAGACUGUCUGCUACUAUCUCUGCAUCGACUAUCUCUAGUUUUCAAAAGGAAGAUUUCCAAAGAUCAUCUUCUAUUCCUUUCAGGAGAGAAUGACACAAUUCUAUAGCAAUCGUCUAGCAGUAAUUGUAGGUAUAGGGAAAAAAAAAAGAAAAACAGUGAAUAUUAUUAUUGGUUUAGGCUUUGCAUGUUUAUGGGAAAGUGUGAGGAAAUCAUAUGCAAAGUGCUUAUAGUAUAUUCCUUCAAGCACGCGAAUUUCUUCGCAUUCCCACUGUCCAAGAUUCAUAGUUUCACACUGUAGCAUGAAUUUAUAAAACAAAGAAACCAAUACAUGGAGUAUACUGUAAUUGAUUCUCCCAAUUUCUAGAUUGUUAAUUACACACACAAACACACAUAUAUGUGCAUGAGCUUGCUCUGCAUUUUCUUACGUUCCAAACACAUGAAAUGUUAUACACUGAAAGUGAGAUACCCUACAUAGGCCAAAAUAAGAUGGAAAUUUAAGAUAUUGUAAAAAAGUUCCAAAGACCAUUUAAGUUUUUAUUAUUCUUAUUCUUUUGAGCCAACAGGGUUUGAUUGUAGACCUCUCAAACAUCAUUAGGUCUCAUUAGAUAAUACAUAUAACACUUUUACUCAUUCAUGGCUGACUAUGGUCCUCAUCUGGUGGAUAGGGCUCACUAACUUUGUUGAUAGCCUCUUGCAUCACAUUGGCAGUUUUAGAUGCGGAUCCUUCUGGUGUUUGUUGUCCAUGGUGAGACCAUGGUUGACAGUGCCCUUCAUAAUGGCCUGGAUUGCAGUCAGUUAUAGGGCCCCAAGGAUGAUCACCCUCAACACAAUUGCCAGUUACACACCCUGGCACUACUGGGAUUAUUGGGAUUUUUGGGAUUGCUGGUAUUUGUGGGAUUGCCGGAAUUUCUGGAAUUUGUGGGAUUGCUGGGAUUUCUGGAAUUUGUGGGAUUGCUGGGAUUUCUGGAAUUCGUGGGAUUGCUGGGAUUUCUGGAAUUGGUAUGGUGAAACCAAGAACGCAUGGAGGAACACAUCCAUGAACAUUUCCUAAACCAUGUUCUUCACCUUUCCCAUACUCAUACCCAUGACCAUUACCACCUAUUCCUGAUCCAAUUCCCGAUCCUUCACCAGACCCAUAACCACUUCCCCCACUUCCAACACCUUUGCCAAUACUAGAUCCAUGCCCACUCCCACCUCCUGACCCACUUCCACUGCCAUAACCAACACCAACUCCUUCCCCGUUAGGCUUCUUCACUGCUUCAUGGUGAGGAGGCUGAGGCUCCAUAUUUGUGUGAUCAUCAUUGACCUGAUUCAAUAAGAACCUAUGAGCCAAACUGAAGCCUAGGGAUAAAAAAACUGACAGAAUUAUACAUGCAGAUUUUAGUGUUGGGGCCAUUUGCCUACUUUUGGUCCUUUCUAUACUCCACCAAAUGAAGGCUGUCAUUACUUUUAUAGAGAAAAAUUGCAAAUGAAGAAAGAACUAGAAAUUGCAUUGUUGAAAAUGUUAAUUGGUUUGUUCUUCUCAUCCGGAAUCAUGGACCUUGCAUGAGUAGAAAUUUACGUGCCUUUAAUGCAACACCAAUCUCUCACUAUUCAUCAACCAAAACAGAAGGGAAUAACAAGAAAAUAAAAGAAAAGAAAUCAACCCUUUCAUAUAGCUUAAGCCUCCUUAUCAGCUCCUGAAUUUAAUCCAUCAUGAGGGAGGUUAAGCUGGACAUCAUUUGUUCUUUCAGUUCUGGAUCAUGAAAUACGAUAAGCAUGGCCUUAAAUAACGCUUUGAUAUUUUCAUUGAUAGUUUGGUUUUAGGGUGGUUUGAAAAUGAAACUUCCUAUUGAGUUCUGGCUACUUAGUAGUACUAAUUCAUCCUGGAGACAGUGAUUAUGGGAGAUUUAAGAUAAAUAUACUGUAAUUCAGAGUUUUUCAAAUUUUUUCUCUAUUGCUGCUGCUUUAUUCUAGAAGUGAUAACUGGUAACUCGAAUUCAAUUUAUUCUGAACUUAUAAAAUUCAAUCCAAAUCCGAGAUUUUUAUCAUCUAUGAAUCCCAGAUUUUACCCGAGGAAGUACUAAUUAGUUUGUCCUUUCUGUUGCCUCCGAUGACGAGUCAAGCUUUGGCCUUCAUAUAACCAUAAUUUCAUCACCUUCACUAGAAUUUUCUGACGGAUGAGCAGUAAACGCUGGAUUGUUGGUGGAAAGUUAGACAACAGGCUUUACACUGCCCCAUUCUUAGACUCACUUUUUCUUUGAUUUUGUUUAAACAACCAAGAACCAGAGUGACAGGUCAUUUUAACCAUUUUUGUGAAAUCAGCAUCGGUGCCAGUUGAACCUGUUGUCCAGUACCGUCUAAAAGUAUUCUUAGUCUUCAUCUCAAACGACCAACCGGUAAACACAUUCAACUCGACUUGUCGUUUUGCUUCUAGGAGGAAAACAACUUUCAUGCUUGGGGGACAGCCAGACAGUUAUGGCAUUUGCUAAUGGUUUAUGAAAUUUGAAUAUAUAUUGAUUCUUAUUUCCAUUGGCUCAUCGCAAAGAGCUCGUAAUCUUCAAGAGGUUCUCAUGAAUAUAUGCAAUACCAAGACGAACAAGAUCGAUUGCACAAGAAACGGGACAGGUGAUCAUUUCUCUUUCAUAUUCCAAGUAGAACAUUCAUUAUUGGUCUAAGAUUUUCAUCCAUUGAAACUCAAUAAUAAACAAUUUAUUACCACAGGAGACAAAAUCCCACCAAUCUGAACAUCACACAGGACCCCAUCGAAAAUGUUGGGGAAGCUGUUUAGCAAGUUGUUACAGGUAAGUUUGUAAACAUAUUAGCAUGUCAACAUUCAAGCUUGCUCGCUAUUGCCUUCUGAAUCCAUGGCCUUUAAACUUUCAGCCAUCAUUUGGUCUCUGUUCCGCUUUUGUCUUUCUACAGCCACCAUAUACAGGCCUACACAAGAAUAAAUAUUAACUAUCACCAUGAGCCAGGAAAGAAAAUAAAAUGUAUGAUUCAAGAGUCAAAAGAAUUCAAAUAAUCGGUGCAAUCAUAUAAAUUAUGCCAAGCAACAAGCGCCAAAUCACAGGUCAUGGUAGCGUACUGAUUGCACUUCCAAUUGCACAAAGCCAGAGAAUCCUCAUAGACCACUUAUCUCCAAUAACUCCUCCGGUUCCCAUACCUGGCAAAACCUAUUAAACUAAUUAGUAUAACAUCAACCUAGACACCAAAUAUUAUUGCUGACCAAGUCUAAUGCAUAGUGAAGAUUCAAAUAGACUACUUGGUUAUAACUUUAUGGUUAAACUAAACUCUUCAUGUUGUAUCUCUUUCUACCAAAUUCAUCUGCUAUCAUAAUUUUUGCAAUCAAAGAACAUCAAUAACUCCGUUAUAAGCUACCACUUGAGUUGCUAAUGCAUUUGACAUAACACCUUUUUACCUUGCAUGACCAGGGAUACCGGUAGCAUUGCUAAUGCAUUUGAGAUGAGGCCUUUUUAAUUGCAUAAUAAGAUCACACCAGUGAUCACGCUUGUUAGCUUUGAAAUUGCAAAAUAAGAUGGUCAGAGCUCCAAUUUAAUAUUUCUUUUGAUAGAUGGAGCUUUUAUAUAUAUAAAAUUCAUGAUACAAUGUGUACUCAUUUGUACGCUCAAAGUGGAAGAGGUCAUAUGAACUUCAAAUUUACACUAAUUUCUUUGAAUCAAAGAUACUACCAACAAUGUGGUUGAAUUGCAUAGAGUAAUUUUCACAAUUCCUGUAAAACAUAAGAAGAACUGACAAUUCAUACAAAGAAAAAAGGGCAAAAUAAAUGGUGCAAUUGUGGGGUCGAAAUUCCAUAAAAUGUCUUUCAAAGCCAGGAAAGAACAUUUUAAAAGCUCAAAAUAAGUUUUGUAAUUAAAGUAAAUUGCAAAAAGCCUUAGUUUGAGAUGAGAUUUGACAAAGACCCAAUCUGCUAACCAUUAAUUCUUCGCACUCAACAAAGAUAGCAUUGAACAAAUGUACCGUGGAUCAUUCCUUCACAUGUUACAGGGAGCAGAAAAUAACUCAAAUCUGAAAGAUAAUAUUUUCUUUGAAAAGCAAGAUACAUGGACUUCAACUUGUAAAUCGAGUCCAACAGGUAACAGCACAUAUAUAAAGCAACCGAGUUCUUUUUUGUAAACCUUAAUAAAACAAAGAACAAGGCAUCUACAGCAUUCACACCUAACUGGAAACUUAUGAAAAUGAAAGAAAACAGGUUCUUAGAACACCAUGUUCUUCUGUAUACGAAACAAAAAACCGGAAAACAGAAUUUCCUUCCGAUUUAAGCACCUAUGCUUUCCCGCUCCUAAAUGUCAUAAUCUAAAAAUAUUUACAGCUUUUUUCUUUCAUAAAAUUCUACUCCGACGAACUGACUGUAUUUCAAGCACACUCUUUUCAUCCCCUUUCUGGGAAAUGAAGGUGCAAAGACAUGAACUUUACAACUUUCAACACAUCAAAAAUCAAUUUUUUUUAAGAAGCAAUUUCAUAUUAGAAAAUUAACCAAAACCCAAAUUCCAAAAACAGUUAAACCAAACAACAAUUAAGUUACCAAAAACGAAACCCAGAAAAAAAAUCAUCAAUUAGGGUAAAUAAAGAGGAAAAAAAAAAAGGAAUUACCUUUGAAGAAGCUAAGCUGAAAAAUCCAAACUUUUUUUUUUUUAAUAGUGUGGAAUUUUUGCUCUUGGGUAUUUUUAGGGCUUUACAGCGGCAAGUGUAUGGAGAGUGAAAUGGCUGAAAGAGGGUUUAAAGAAAGUGUUUCUCACGCUCUUAAGCAUCGCGUGGGAACUCUAUCUCUCACCUACCCGCAAGUUUGCAAUUUCCUCCGAAUUUUUUAUUUAUCUAAUGACGUCAGCAUUCAAACUUCUAUAAAUACCCUUAAAUUUCACUCUUUUUCUGAAUAAUUUUUACUUCUUUAAGAAGCUAAGCUUAACCUCGGAAAAGAAAAAAAAAAAAAAAAGCUGAAAAAGGGAAUUUUCUUUCUUUCAAGUAAGCCAAUGCUUCUUUCAAUUCUUUUUCUUUUCUCAUGCAUUCACUUAGUCUUUAUUAUUAAUCUUUUAAUCCUUCAUUGAGUAACUUAAAAACUUGAUAAAAAUGACUGCUUUUCAUCAAUGAUCAACCUAGUUUCCUCUCCGUUUCCUAGCAUUAUUAGUUUGAUAAUCUGUUUGGUUGCUGAGAAACUGAUGAACAUUGAAAAGCAGAAGAAAUGUGAAAGUUUUGAUUUUUGUGUUUUCUUACAUUUUCAAUGCCAGGGUUUUUUUUCUUUCUGAAAGUUGUUCUUUUGGUCAUUUAUUCUGAAAGUGGUUCUUUGGUAUGAUAGUUAGAUUUGUGUAUUUUUUUCAUCUGUUUGGUUACUGAGAAAGCGGAAAGAAAUGAUACAGAAAAAGAAAAGUAAUUUCAUUUAUUUUCUUUUUUUUUUUGGGGCUUUUUCUAAACAGAGCUCUAAAAGAAUUUUAAAGAACUCCAUUUGAUAUUUGCUAUAAUUGUUUGUGAUUAAGAAGUUUUAUUAUGAUAUAAAGCACAUUUCUUUUGUAAAGUUACAUAUCGAUUUUACAUGUCUAAGACUUGCUGUUUAGUUGAGAAAAUGGAGGUAAGGAUCAAUAUUGUGGAACAAAUUGUAAUGAAACUUGCAUAUAUGGCAAAGUUAAGCACUGUGAUAGGCGAUUGUUGUAAAAAAUGGUUUGGCAUUGCUAUUAGCAGUCAAAUUAAUGCCAACAAAUGUAAUUCCAAUCGCAAUGCCAAACAGAAAUAAUAUUCUUAGAAUGAAUUUUGAUUAUUUUCCCAGUAGGUUGAUCUUUGAAAUGAAUGUCAUUUGAAUCUCUCUAGGCUAAGGCUGUAAAUAAAUUAAUAAUCAAAGAAAAAUUGUAUAUUUUUUUGUUUAUUCUUUAUACUAUAGUUACCUAAUUAGCUAGAUUCCCUUUCCGGCUGUGUCCUGGAUCGCACUCCGUAUGUGAUCCAAAAUGUGGAAAGAGAUGAGCUGCCGUUUCAACAUCCUAAGUCCCAAUUAUCUGUUAUGCCGCGUGUUUUUUAUGAUUCCAAUACAAUAAAACAAGCCAGGCAGUAACAGAAAAUGGUGUGGAUUUCAAAACUUGUGAAAGGAUUACAAAUCUGGAAAGUAUAUCAUCACUUUUAUUAAGUUUAGCUGGUCAGCUAAAAUUAACCAUUUUCUUCUUUUUUUUUUUUUGUAUUUCUUUCUCAACCUUUUAAUUUUCUUCAAAAUAACUUGUUUUGUUUAUAUAUUGUGAUAUGUAUGUCUAUGUAAUCAUCCGAGCACACAGCUAUUCUGCAAACCCAAAAGCACUAUAAUUCUGGUAACCUUGAUUUAUACUCCAUUGUAAUUGUCUUCCUCUAAUAUCAUAAUUUUUAUGGUUUUUCCUUUUCCCCUCUUUUGUGAAGGAUAUAUGAGAAUGAAAGGAAUUGCAUGUGUUGCAAAUCUUGAUGAAGAAGCUCUCAGAAAGCUGCUUGAUGUCUUUGGUACUCAGUAUUCUCUUGAGGACAUAGCUUCUGCUUAUUACGAGGCAAAAGGAAGUGUCAAUAUUGCUGGUGACAUUCUUUGUGCAAGACAUGAUGGAAGGAUCUUGAUUGCUAGGGCUGAUGCAUUUGAAAAUAAGUCAGUGGGUACUAGUACAACAUCUGUGGAAUUGUCGUCUGGAUGGGAAAGCGAAAAUGCAGCAUCUUUAGAAUAUACAUCCGCCAAUCCCAACGCUGGAGCAUUCAAGUCAAAAAAAGGUUCUGCAUCAAUGGGAAGUGUUACAGGUGUGAUAGGAAGAAACUAUGUCAAACCAAGGCCAUCAAGAAACGACUCUUCUGAGACUAUGAAACCUGUGAAAAUAGAUUCGAAGGAAUUGCCAGUCUCUAUAGUAUGGAGGGAAGAAGAUCCAUCAAAUAGGACAACAAGGAAUGGCUCCACAAAUGGUGAUCUUGAGGAAUUUCUGUAUGAGAUGCUUGGAGAUGGAUUUCAACUUGACAAGUCUGUAAUUCAAGAAGUAUUUGGUAAAUCUGCUAGCUUCCUUUAGCCUUUGAGUUGUUUACUGCUUUUGUCAUGCAAGCUGCAAUCUUAUCUGAAAGUUUAGUGCAAAAUUGCUUGUGUGUGCGUUUAUUAUCUUUCAAUGGAGGUAUAAGUUUAAGUGUGACAUGAUAAGUAUUCAACAUAAUGUGAUCAAUUGAAUUAUAUGAAGUGGAGUGAAUAUAGACAGAGGAGAGUAUCUCAUGUUAUAUUGAGUUCUGUAGUCCCAAGUAUUUUUAUUUCGUCAUCAUAUAUGUUAUCAUUGACAUGAAAUUUCAUGAUGCUAAUUUUUGGUUAUUUGGCAUGAGUUAUUUUGUUCAUUUAUAUAUUUUAGAUCUUGCAGUAUAUCAGUAAUUUGUUCCAUUUAUUACAUGUUAUAUUGUGUGAGUUUAUCCCUCGUCUUUUCUACCUCUGUUGCUUGCUUUGGCCUUUGCUAGGAUGCUAUCUCUUGAUGCCCUGAUCUUCUCUUUUUGAGUUUUCCGCCUUCGAAUUGGUAGUUUUAAGCUUCAAAAAUAAUGCAGUCAGCUUAAGAUAAAAAUUUCUCUUCAUUUGUAUUCAUGAUAUUGUAACUAUAAAGUUAUGUUUUCUUUAUUGCUGUUACUUAUUUGAGUUCAUAAUGUGCUUAAUCCUGCCAUUCAUUCGAUUUGCAGAUUGUUGUGGGUUUGAUGUGGACAAGGUGAAGUACUUAUACCCUUUGAGCUUGAAGACCUUUCAUGAAUUUUAGUUCAUGUCCUCUUGUUUUAAAUAACGUAUGUUUUUAUAACUCACAAACAUUCAAAGAAUAAUUGGGCCAUAGUUCUGCAUGUAUUGUUUCUAAGAGACUAGAUUUUAAUGAUGUCUUAAACUCCCGGUUUUGCUUGUGCUCCUUUGAAGAAAGUGAAAAACAUUCAGUGUGUGUUGCCAUUUCAACCUAAACGUUGCUAUCAUCCUUAAGUCAUUUUAUCUUCUUUAUUUUAUCCUUUAUCUGUGUAUAUUUGAUUACUAGUUAAUUUAGCAUCCCAAGCCAGGUCAAUGAUACCGAUUUGUUUUAUUGAUCGCAUAGAGCAUGGACAAACUGCUUGACUUGUCAGCUUCAACUCUAGAGAAGUCUGAUGAUGUUAUUGGUAUAGCUGCUGAAAAGGUGAGCCCAAGUUCACACAUUUCUGUACCCAGUUUUUCAACAAUAUCUUGUAGAAAUUACUAUCAAAUCAUGAAAUUCUGAUGAUUCUACUGGUUCCUUUUAUGGUCUAUUUGCGCAACUGUUCAUAUUUCACAUUACGUGUGUGUUUUAUAUCACAUUAGGUCCUGCACUUUACAGGAAUAUUAACUGUCAGCAAGCUUCAUGCUUCUUUACUCAUCUUCUCAUCACAAUUCUUUCAACAGUUCACUGGGAUAUGUCCAGAUGACCAAUUCUUUUUAAUCCAAGACAAACCGCAAUCCAAAGAUUUUGCUCAAAGGUGUGUUUUCCAAUUUCAUUUUGUUGUACUGACUUUUUGCUGCACAUCUUAAUUUUCUAAAACAAAGGUGUUCUUUAGGAAAGGCUACCCUAAAUUCUUUCUUAUGGGCCACACUAUUCUUCUUUGCAUCCCUUGCAGCAAAGAAGCUACAUCUAUGAUAAGAAAUCCUAAAAGAUCUUCAAGAAGAAACAAAGAUAGAGUCACUAUGGAGAAAGAAGUCUUAGAAGCAUUGUUCACUGUUCCUGAAAGAUCUGAAGAAGUACCAAAAAGAAAUGGUGCAGUUAGAGUGGUGGGGAGAUCAAGGGCAUUUGGUAAAUUGGUGACCGAACCUCUCAAGGACACAGAUACCGGUCCUACAACUAUUGUAAAGCUGCUGAACGUUUCCAAAGAUGGUAAAGGAUUUUGUCUAUGCUUUUUGUAGUGAGAUAGAGUAUUUCAUUGCUAAUGUUCUCAUGAACAACGAAUAAAGUAAAGAGGAUAUGGCUUUAAGAGAAGGAGGUUAUAAAUCAACUCAUUUUGUGGCCUCCCUAUGACUUGGAAUUGAUUGGUAGUUAAUUAGCAUUGCUGCACUUCUGUCAGCCACCAUUCAUUUGUUAUUUGAUUACAUACUCACUUACUGAAUAAUAAACGAAACUUUGCAUACGAAAUUUUUGCAAUAAACAUGAGUGAUCUGCCCACAAAGUGUUCUCAGUUUUCCUCUAAACAAAAACACCAGGUUGGACUAUGUGUUGUGGUACUCUUGGCUGCAUGAUAGACAUACAUACACCUGAGGACUAAUCCAUUGUAGCUUAAUAGCCUAGAGCUACCUUUGUACUUCAAGGUGAUAUAUGAUAUCAUAUCAAUCCAAUAUUUGUGAGGAUGUUAAAAACCGUUCAAUCUUGCAGCCUAAUUUUUAUUUUUUAUAUUGUAUGAUUUUGUAUGUCAUUUCUGUGACAACUUUUUCAAAUAUCUUAGCCUUCUUGUGCUUGGUUUCUGGUGCAGUGGAAGAUGGACUUGAUGACGAUGAGAAUAGCUAUGAUGUCUUACGGCAAGCUGUGAAGGAGCAUUGGAUCACAAUGAAAGAAUACUUUAAAGCUGUAAGCUGUUUAAUCUGCAAAAAUUUUGGAAGAUGUACUUGUUCCAACGUUUCAUAGAACCAAUUUAGAAAAGCAAGUCUAAAGUUGGUAAAUGAUGGUCAUUAUGCUUCUUUAAUUUUAAAGAGAUAUACUGGGGCCAUCUAAUAAGUUUUGCAAGUCUUUUGCUUUGGCCACAGCCCAAGAUCUUGCUUUUCCUGGCAUUCAUCUUGUUCUGCGCCCCCCCCCCCCCUCUUUUUUUUUGGCAGCAUUACUUCUGUUGGAUGAUUUUUUUAAAUUGGAAUGGAUGAAUAGUACUAACAGUCUUGAUUAACUUCCAGGCUCUUGAAGCAUUUGCUAAGGGUGAUAAGGCACGUGCAGCCAAACUUGUGGAGCUAGUAUGAUUCAGAUCUUUGCCUGUUUUAAAAGUUUUUUCCGAUAUCAGUGUUCAACACUUGAUCAACUGAAAAUAAGACGGCGAUAUAAUAAUAUAUAUACCAGCCCUAGAAGAAUUUCUUUCCUCCACAUGAAUUAAGAUGUUUAAUGCAUCACGGCAUGUGUUUAGAGUCAAAUUUUCUUUUCCAUGGUUAAUAAAAUUUUUUUAUUAAUCUGGGAAUGCAUUUGUGAAAUACUGACUCGAAUUAGAUUAUUGAGGCAAGUCUGCUGAGUAUUUGUUGUACAAUUUUAAAGCAGUGAUAUUCUUGUAGAAGAAGUAAUUGUUGAUAUUUUUUUCGGGUGAAUGUCUAGGGUCAUUUUUUUAACAAGAAGGCCCGAGAAGCAGAUGAAAGAUCUGCUGAAAAGAUGCUUGAAACCAGGUUGGUGCAUGUUGAAAUUCUUUAUUCUGUUGCACAAUGCUGUCUGUUGUUUCAGAAAAUGGUGUCACAAGUUUGAAUUUUGUUGCAGAGAUGACGAAAUUAUAUCGCUUGACUUGCGUAACUUUGAACCCAAGGAAGCUCUUAGUCUUCUCAGAGUCCAUUUAACCUCUGUUUCUGGCAUCCCUUGUAGGUUAUUGUUCUCUUCUAUUUUUUAGUCGUAUAUGUAGAAAUCUAAUUCUCCUACAUUAGUGCAAAUCCAAUUCUCCUACAUUAGUGUAGCUUGAUAUGAUUCUCCUACAUUAGUGUAGAUUUGAUUCUCCUACAUUACUGCAGCUUGAUUUCUUAAUUUAUUUUGGGAAUAUUUCUCAUUUACUCUUUUGAUUUAAUCAACUAUUUUGAUUGUUAAGUUUUUAGGGAUUUGUUUUCAUUUUAGAAUAAAAUAAUUCUUUUUACUUUUUUUUUUUUUAUUUCAUGUAAGUUGUUUCCUAAUAAGGAACUUCAAUGUUUCUAUUUAUUGUGAUGUACUCCUUCAUUCUAGAUAGAAUAAAAAGAAACAAAGACAAUUGUUCUUUAUGUUUUCUACCUGGUAUCAAAGCAAGUCGACCUGAACCUUUAGACUGUAGCCACACGAGUUUUCAUUAUGGCUAGUAGGAGUGUGAACUCUUCUUCUGCAGAGUAUGGCAUAAGGAAAGUUACAAAGAGGAAAUGCUCCAACAAACCCUUCAAAACAAGUCUUCAACCUUUGGAACUAAUUUGCUGGCACAAAAAGGUCAUUUUCUAAAGGCCAUAAUUGUUCAACGAGGAAAUACACAAUCUUGGAUUGUUGAUUCAGGAGCAUCAGAUCACAUAACUGGAGAUGCAUCCUUUUUCAACAUAUAUAGACCUUGCUAUGAUAGUUUGGCUGUAAAAAUUGCUAAUGGUUCUCUCUUAAAGGUGGUAGGAACAGGUUCUAUUAUAGUUUCAAAAGACAUAACACUCGACUUUGUCCUCCAUGUCCCUAAUUUAAACUGUAAUCUACUUUCCAUCAAUAAGCUUAUGAAUGAUAGAUGUUGUGUUACUAAAUUUUUUUUCAACUUGUGUGAAUUUCAGGAAUUGGGCUCGGGGAAAAUUAUUGGGAAUACUAAGAUAUGUGCAGGGCUCUAUCUUUUUCAAGAUGAUGCACUUGAGAGACUACAAAACUCUUAUACAGCCUUAGCCUCUAGUUCUAGUAAGGAUGAUCUUAUCAUGUUAUAGCAUUAUGGAUUAAGACAUCCAAAUAUUUCAUACCUAAAAAGGUUAUUUCCCUUAUUAUUCAAUCACAUCUUUAAAGAUUUUCAGUGUAAAAUUUGUUAACUUUCUAACUUUCUAAGCACAUUCGAAAUACCUUAGUUUUUCCUAUAAAUCAUCUUAGCCUUUCUAAUGAUUCACGGUGACAUUUGGGGACCGUCAAGAGUUAACAAUAUCACAAGUUCUAGGUGGUUUGUAACUUUCAUCGAUGAUCAUACUCGAUUCACUUGGGUAUUUCUUAUGAAAUAAAAAUCCAAAGUUAGGCAAAUCUUUCAAAACUUCAAUAGCAUGGUACAAACCCAAUUUCAAGCCAAAAUCCAACUCUAUUCUCGGCCCUUACCUUACCAAUCAUGGCAUUACCCAUCAAAGCUCUUACGUUGAUACUCCAUAGCAAAAUGGGAUUGUCGAAUGCAAAAAUAGACAUUUGAUAGAAGUGAGCAAAUCUUUUUUGUUGACUUCCAAUGUGUCUAAAUAGUUUUGGGGAGAAGUUGUCUUCAUUGCAACUUAUUUGGUUAACCAAAUGCCUUAUCAUGUUCUUAGCUUUUAAAACACCUUGUCAAACUCUUCUUACUUCCUACCCACAAACUCGGUUGAUCUCUUCUAUUCUCAUCAAACUUUUUGGUUGCAUUGCCUUUGUUCAUAUUAGCCAACAAAAUCGUAGCAAACUUGAUCCCAAACCUUAAAAUGCAUCUUCCUUGGUUAUUCCCUAAACCAAAAAGGCUAUAGGUGUUACUCAUUCAUCACAAAAAAAUUCUAUAGCUCUAUGGAUGUCACCUUCUUUAAGAAUCUUCUAUACUAUAGCAAGAAUGAUAUUUGGGGGGAAAAUACUGCUCAGGAAUAUUAAUUCUUAGAUGUUGACUUGCCAAUUUCCCAAUCAGCCCUUUCAAAACUAGAUUCUCAACUUACCUAAUCUAUUAGCCAUGCAAAUUUCGAAACCCAACCUAUUCAGACAACUCUUAACUCUUCAAACUUAAGAUUAUACAAGAAAAAGCAAAAGAACUGAUAAUCUACUCAAGGAAGCAAAAACCACAGAAAGAAGUGACCUUAGCACUAAAAAUCAACUUGAUCUAAGUUUUCAAGAAUUUGAAACUAACACAGGUAAUGUCCUUAUUGAAUUUGAAAUUGAAACUUGUGAGCCAGUUGGUGACCUUGACAUUCCUAUUACAUUAAAAAAAUGUUUGAGAUCUUGCACUUGGUAUCUUAUUUGCAAGUACAUCGAGUAUGACAAGUUAUAUCCAAACUUUUGAGCCUUUACUACUAACCUUGACAAUGUGCAAAUUCCAAAAUAUAUUCAAAAAGCCCGUAAUGAACCAGAUUGGAAGGCAACAGUUCUUGAAGAAAUCAAGGCAUUAGAGAAGAAUGGGAUAUAGGAAAUUUCAUAUUUUUCCAAAGAAAAAAAUCCGGUUAGAUGUAAGUAGAUCUUGACAAUAAAGCACAAUGUAGAUGGAAGUAUAAACAGGUUCAAAGCUAGACUUGUUGCAAAGAGGUUCACUCAAUCCAAUGGGAUAGACUAUGAGGAGACAUUUGCUCUGGUAGCUAAACUCAAUUCAAUUAGAGUUCUAUUGUCAUUAGUAGCUAACUUGGAUUGACCUCUCCGCCGUCUUGAUAUCAAGAAUGCAUUCCUAAAUGGUGAAUUGGAAGAGGUUGUCUACAUGGAAAUUUCCCCUGCUUUCAAAAAAACAGCAUGGGCAAAGGGUGCAAACUCCGAAAAUCUUUGCAUUGACUUAAACAGUUCUUCAGGCUUGGUGUAAACAGUUGGCUUAGGCAAUGUAAAUGUAUGGAUUCCUUCAAUGUCAAUCUGAUCGUACUAUGUUUGUCAAGUUCACUAAUGAAGAAAAAAGGGUUAUUCUUAUUGUUUAUGCGGAUGAUAUCAUAAUCACUGAAGACCAUAAGGAAGGAAUAGAUGAUUUGAAGAAAGUCUUUGCAAAGGAGUUUGAAAUAAAGGACUUCGGAUUCCUUAAAUAUUUUUUUGGGGUGGAAGUGGAUCGGUCUAAGAAUGAAAUAUCAAUGUCUCAGCGUGUGUACUUGAUCUACUCAAAGAAACCAGCAUGAUUGGAUGCAAACUUGCCGAAAUACCUAUGGAUUCAACUAAUAAAAUUGGAAAUGAAAAUGGAAGCUCUUUCACGGAUAAAGGGCAAUGCUAGGGGUGUAAUCGAGCAGAGUCGAGAUGACACAGUGAAAAUCUUGAGCUCGACUCCCACCUCGCGACAUGAUACUUGGCUCGAAUUUGAUCGAGUUUCAUUUUCCUAGCUUAAGUUCGAUUCAUGAUCGAAAUCGAACUACUCGAGCUCGCUUGAAUAGGCUCAUUUAUCAAUAAAAAAUAAGUUCGAUUUCAUACUCGAUUUUAAGUUCAAUUAUUGGUACUCGAAUUCAAGCUCGAAUUAAGAUUUUUCAAUACAAAUAUUUUGUAUCAAUUAAAUCUGAUAUAUUUCAAAAUAAUAUCAUAAAAAUAAAUAAAUAACCUAAUACAACAACCAAUCCAACUUGAAAUAAAAUGAUAAAGUUUAAAGCAACCGAAAGCAUAACCCAUAAAGCAAUCAACUUUCAUUCAGAUUAUAUCCAAAUAAACCAUUAUCCAAGUUAAAAUAAGAACUACAAGCCUUAUUUCCAAAAAAAAGAAAAACAUGAGAAAAAUGAAAACUAAAGAUCUUGGCUGAACUUAAAAUGAAAAAAAAACAAAACUUUCCAGAAAAUAAAAAUAAAAAUUUGAAAUAAAACCCUCUUUUUGAUAAGAACAAACAAAAAAAAAUUUAUCACAUUUCACAAAUGCAACGUGUAGGUAGCUUCAAAAUCAAUUCAUGCCUCAUAUAUUGGAAUAGUUACAACAAACAAAUAGCAAACAAUGAAAUCCUUCCUCAGCAAGCAUGCUUAUGUCAACCAUGAAUUUUUAUGAAAUGAUUACUCAAGGUAUUUUUUGCUAAAUAUGUCUUAAAUAAUCGCCUUUAUUUUUGUAUUAGGGAUUCUUCAAGGCAUUUUUUUUUUCAGAAAAUGCCUUGAAUAAUCUUUUACAAAAACGGGAAUGAGGUUAUUCAAGGCAUUUUUGGUUAAAAACGCCUUUAAUAAUCCCUUAGUAAAAAAAUUUAACCAGAUUAUUCAAGGUGUUUUCUAACAAAAAAUGCCUUGAAUAAUCCAUAAAAGAAAAAUUUGUGAGGGGAUUAUUUAAGGCGUUUUUGGAUAGAAACGUCUUGAAUAAUCCCAUUCAAUUUUUUUAAGGGACUAUUUAUGGCAUUUUUUGCUGAAAAAGCCUUGAAUAUUCUCAUUCAAAUUUUUUAAGUGAAUAUUCAAGGCAUUUUUUGCCAAAAACACAUUGAAUAAUCCACUCAUAAAAAUUGAUAGGGAUUAUUCAAGGCAUCUUUGGCAAGAAACACCUUCAAUAAUCCCAUUCAAUUUUUUUAAGGGAUUAUUUAAGGUGUUUUUUAUUAAAAAACAUCUAGAAUAAUCCAUAAAAAAAUGUAAGGGGAUUAUUUAAGGUGUUUUUGAGCAAAAAUGGAUUACGCCUUAAAUAAUCCACUCAUAAAAAUUAAUGAGAAUUAUUCAAGGUGUUUUUGAUAAAAAACACUUUCAAUAAUCCCCUCAUAAAAAAAUUUUGUAAGGAUUAUUCAAAGCAAUUUUUAGCUUAAAACAUCAUGAAUAAUCCCCUUCAAUUAAAAAUUGAAUUAUUUAAGUUUUCAUCAUAUAUGCCAAGGAGAAUAUAGUAAUUAUUCAAGAUUUAAUAUAUGUGGAUUCUCUCCAACCAAAUGAGUGAAUUUGAAUAUGGGAUGCCCUGAAAAUGAAAGAAAACCCCAAGUAUCACAUUUUCUUAGGGAUCACACUUUCUCCCAAAAUCUAUAAUUUCACGAACCAAACACCCUUUAAGGGUUUUAAGUAUUUAUAUAUAUUUAGGGGUAAAAAAGUGAAUUAGUAAUAAAAUAUUAAAUAUAUAUAUUAAAAAUAAAAAACUCGAUUAGGCUUACGAGCCGCUUAAGUCGGAUAUUAAAAUACUCAAAUUCGGCUCGUUUGAUAACUUGAGCUCGAGCUUAGCUCGACAAUAAUCGAAUUGAAUUCGAAUUUGUUUCGAAUCGAGCCCGAAUAGCUUGUGAGUAUAUGUCUCAUUUACACACCUAGGCGAUACCAAAGACUUGUUGGGAAGUUUAUUUACCAUUUCCACAUACAACUUGAUAUCAGGUUUAUGGUAGGGAUGGUGAGUAGAUACAUGAAUAAUCCAACAAAGGACCAUCUCAAGGCUGUUUAUUGCAUCUUACAGUGCUUAAAUAAGAGUACAAGUGAAGGUCUAUGUUUUAAGAAGUCAAUGGAUGAGGCAAUCGAGGUGUACACAGAUGCUAACUAGGCUGGAUCAGUAACAGAUAAAAGAUUCACUAUUGGAUAUUGCACUUAUGUUUGGGGCAAUUUGGUCACUUGGAAAAGCAAAAAGCAAGCUGUUGUAGCUAUGAGCAGUACUGAGGCUGAGUUUAGAGCAAUGUCCCAUGGUAUUUGUGAAGGAAUUUGGCUAAUGAGGUUACUUGGAGAAUUAAAAGUUCAAACUGUGACAUCUAUGACACUAUUUUGUGACAAUAAGGCUACUAUAACUAUUACCAAAAAUCCUAUUUAUCAUGAUAGGACCAAGCACAUGGAGCUGGACCGACAUUUCAUAAAGGAAAAGAUAGAAAAUAAGUCGGUCAAACUGACCUAUAUCCCUACUAGUUCACAAAUUGCAGAUAUUCUGACUAAAACUCUUCUUAGAAGCAUUUUUGACAGAUUGAAAUCCAAGCUGAGUAUGAUUAACAUUCAUAACCCAACUUGAGGGGGAGUGCAGAAAUCUGAUUCUUCUACACUAAUGCAGAUCCAAUUCUCCCACAUUAGUGUAGCUUGAUCUGAUUCUUGUACAUUAGUGCAGAUUUGAUUCUCUUAUUGUAGCUUGAUUUCUUAAUUUAUUGUGGGAAUGUUUCUCAUUUACUCUUAUAAUUUAGUAAACUAUUCUGAUUUUUUAGGAAUUUGUUUUUAUUUUAGAAUAGAAUAAUUCUCUUUUUAUUAUUUUUUGUUUUCUGUUUCAUGUAAGUUAUUUUCUAAUAAGGAACUUCACUGUUUGUAUUUAUUUUGAUGUACUACUUCACUCUAGAUAGAAUAAGAAGAAACUGCCAUGACUUCAUAUUUACUCAUCUUACCAGCUAUUAAGGGCCUGAGGAUUAUAGUGGGAACCAUUGAAGAAGAUACUAAAAAAGGGGCUCGAAGACAACUGGUAUGAGCUUUUCUUUUAAAAAGGUUUCAUUUUUUAAGAUAUUUAGAUAGAAAGCACCUUUGUUAAAUUCAGCCGAGAUAGAACCCAUCAACUGUAAAUGAGCUUGAAUGCAAUGAAAAGACAUCCUAAUCUUUAUAUCAGUUUCUCAAGACUCAGUCCUGAUAUUGCAAUAACUGGUAUGAUUGUAUUGGUGAGUAUAUCAACUAAACUCUUAACAUUGUUUAGCAAUUCAUAUCUUAUACACUUGCAAGUUAACUUUUGUUUAAUCUUCUGAUCGAUAUUGCAAAUGAGCUCGUUGUAAUGCUCUAUUUUAUGUAUAUUUAUGUUAUGAGUUAAGAAAUUAGCGCUUUAAAAUUUUCUUUUGCAGAUUAUGAAACAACUGGAGAAGGAAUCGAUUAAAUGGAAUGAGGAAGAGAAUGGUCGGAUAAUAUCAAUUCGAGUUGAUGUAAUCAACCCAAAGCUCCUGAGUUUUGCAAAGAAGAAGAAUGAGACAAACAUGGGAUCCUCCUAAAUCAUUUCGAGGCUUUUGGCAACACAGGGCGUGACUAUAGCGAUAACGUCAUAGAGGAAGAUUGAACACUUGAACAACUUAGCCAAAACCUGGCAAUGGUUUUUUUUUUUUUUUGUUUAAUUCAAAUUCUGAAUAAAGUGUUCAUGUUGAAUUUUGUCCUUUUUUCCCUUGGUUUUCUUACGAGCAUGGUGGUAUAUCCUGGGGUUCAUGCGUCUUCCAUAGCUGCAAUAUCAAAACAUUGUUUGAAUGCAUUUGACAUCGAUACAACAGCAAAUGUUUUUUCAGUUAAUAAAAUUUUUGCGUGAUAGUUUUGAAGUGGUUGUUAGAAAUAAUACCUUAUUGCCUCUUUCGUAAUGUAUAUGGAAUUGAGGAUAAGAGCCUUGUCCCCAUUUAUACAGUAGCAAAAGAGGAGUCACAAUCCAGCAUCAUCGGUUGGGAAAUAGUGGCCAAAUUUCCUUUGAGAGGUGUUAUCUUACUUUAUUUUUCUCCCUGGUAAAACAUUCAAAUCGAAACUGUGCAAGCACAUGGCAAAUCUUCAAAGUCUAGCCAACGUUCGGUUUGACAUUCUCUUCUGCUGGCUGGGCACCCUUUGAUUUUGGGCGAUAUUUUUUCUAGAAUAAAGUGAGCCUAUACAUCAAAGUAAAAGCUGAAGGAAAGGUGUCCCUCUUUGGCUCUUUCAAUAAUGCUGCCAUAAAAGUUUGACUGGAUAAGCACCGCACAUGGCCAGUGGUCACCACGUCAUAGAGUGAAUUUGAAGAGAAUUUUCCCUUCCCCUUCCCAAAAGGAAAUUUAGAACAGACUAGAUUCAUCAAUGGUGCAGUUGAGCCUUUGUGGCUUGCUUUUAGAUAUGAUAAUUUGUGUUUUGUUUGAUUAUUUUGUCAUAUAUGUAUAAAAUACAAAAUUAUAACAUUAUAAUUCGCGUCGAUACAUAAAAUAUCAAUAAAUUUUUAUUUUUUUUAAUUUAUAUAUAAUUUUUUAUUUAAAUUUUAAAUCGUAUCAUUUUUGUUAUCUUUUCGUGUUCGUUAUCAUAUCAUACCAUGUUAUCAUCGUUGUCAUUGUGUGGUGUUAGUGUAUUUUAUUUAAAAUUAUCAAAAUCUAAUUAUUUUUAAGUAUUUUGGGAUUAUAAUUGAUACCAUAGUUCACUCUGAUUCACAUAAGUGAACUAAAUAAUGAUGUAUCAGCGAUCCAUCACAUAAGAGAACCAGGCAUGGUGCUUAUCAAAUAUAUACAACAAAGGACUUAAAAGAUUCAUGCAAAAAGAAACCAGAAAUGGAAAUGAUAACCAGAAGGUAAGAACACUAUAUUAUAUUAAGGAUUCAUGAAGUCUAUUGAAAAUUACACAAAAUAUGAUCAUUGAGUAAGCCUCUGCAUCUCAUUUUGGUCAUUGAGAGUUUCAAUGAGAAGGGGAGGUGCAUAUUGGGCUGUUCCCUGGUGCUCCUCUGAAUCCUGGCAGAAUGAAAGAAUUAUGGUAUCGAUCGACAUCUCCACCACGGCAAAGAAGAGAGUUGCAACUACAUAACCAAGAGCCCAACAAACCUGCAAAAAACACAUUGCAAGCAGGAAUUUUAACACUAGCUAUCAGAGUAACUUUAGAAAACUGCAAGCAGCAAAAAAACGAUUUCAUAUCAUUGAAAAUUUGAGCUUAAUAUGUUUGCUUGCUCAUGGUUCAUGCAUGUAUAAAUGUCAAUCUCUCACCUACAAAAAAUUACAAUACUAAAGUCCAAAGAAUAGAAAACAUACCAGCACAGGAAGCAAAGGGGAGGAUAUUUUGUUAUGAGAAGAUCUAUACUUGUGGGUAUCCAACAUGAGGAAACCAAAAACAGCACUUGAAAGGCUGACACACAACUUCCCAAGAAAUAGGAUAACAUCUCCUAUUACAUUCACCCUCCCUAUUCGCAGGAUGUUAUUCAUGAUCAAUUCUGUUGCAAUUGCAGAAGCUCUACAGAAGCUUUUCCCAGUUAUAGCAAUCUGUUAGAACAAGUUAACAUUGAAGAUAAAGUUCAGAGUGGCCACACAACAAGAAAUAAAUCCACAAAACUUGGGCAAAUAGACUCCUAGUUAGGUCUAAGUGCAAGAUAAUAAGUCCUAUAACAAAGUUCUUGAAUGUGUGAAUGAAACAAGAGAUCACAACAUUGGCAGUUGUAACGACAAAAGUGAUACGAAUGAUGAAAAAGAGCCGGCUUUUGCAAAUUUUUUGUUCUUUUACUCCUCAUUGACCACCAGCAUCAACUUGUUAGGUUUCCAUGGGAAGGCUGGUGUCAGGCAUUUCCCAGACAGAAAAGCAAACAUAGAAUUUCAUUUUCCUCUGUUCCCUUUACUUUUUUUAGGAUAGAUAUACAAAUAAUAAUAAUAAUAACGUAUAAGCAUUUGGAAAAUGUAUGGAUAUGUUUAGUUUUAUUCAAAACUAGUUCUGGAAGAAUACCAUUAUAUAAGCAUUGCGAUUCACUGAUUUGAUUGUCCACUGAACACAUCUCAAACAUCCCUGCGAAGUAUGAUAUCCCAUCUUUCCAAACCAACUAUCUGGUGUAGUACCAGCAACUUUGAGUUUACGACGAAUUGACUCAAGAAUGAAACGAAUUGAUUCUACAAAGGAUACAAUCAAUGAUCCAAGGGCCACAGACCCAAGGCUGUAUCGUAUAAGCCGCUUCAUAGAGGCAAAAACAGGAAGAAAUGGGAUCUCUGGCUGCAAGAGUGAACCACAGAAAUAUUCAGGGAAGAAUAAAUCAUCAGGAAUAAAUACCUCCAAAAAGAAAAGGAAAAAAAAAAAAGGAAAUAGAGACAUAAAAUUCUUAAGUAAGAUAAUGUGCACACUUAUAAAUAUAUUCUUUAUUGUGUUACUAUAUUACUUACAAAUAUAUACAAAAUAAUUUCCAUAUUACUUAGAAAUAGAUACAGAGUAAACUAAAGAAUAUGUCAAUCUUGCACAAGCAGUUCAACUAUAACUUUAAGAUCUUUGGCAUUUGUAUAAAACCCAGCUUCAGGUUUUGCUUGAUUUGGGAGGUUCUAAACUGUUUGCAGAGUGGCUGUCUACAACCAUGACCACCAGCAUAGAAAUUUGUAUACAAACAGCAUGUAAUGUAUACCUGUGAAACUAUAAAGUGGUAGUAGCUUACCGAUGUUUCACCUCGAGCCCAAUAGUAAGAGGCAACAGAACCAGCAAUCACAGUUGAAGAACAUGCUAUGAAAAAUUGUGUAGCCCAGUAACACCCAAACAGGUGGAAGAAGAUGGCAACAGCAAUAUGAGGAGUGUAAUGGAUGCUAUAACCACAGCAACGAUCACAAUUAACCUUUUUCGACUCAAGAUCAUAAGCACAGCAGUUGGUAUUACAGUUGUCUUGGAUGACCUGACCAGAACUGAAAAGAUGGAGAGCAGCUGAUAUCCAGAACAUGUAAAAAAUAGCAAGAAUCGCAUAUGGUAUGAUAGGAAAAAUGAUCAGUGCUUGUGCUUCUCCUAUGACCUUUGCAGCAACCUGCAUUCGGUUGGAAGGAUAAUAUCAUCUUUAGCUCUUUUUUAUAUUAUGAAACCAAAAUGACCAUUAUAACAAAACAAAAACCAAAGAACACCAUUAUAGACCAAGGAAAAGUAAAGAGCAAAAAUAGGCACUGGUACAACCUAAAACGGGAAAAUGCAUGAUUAGGAGGUUUAUCUUGUCUAUCCGGAUGCACCAUUGGCAAUAUCAGAACUCACACUAGAGAAAACAUUUGGGUUCUAGAACAGGGAUUUUUAUGCAGCCUAUUGCUCAAUCUCACAGAAGCAUCCAGCUUCUGCUGUACAAGUGCUAGCCUAGAUUAGUACUUGACAUCUAGGAAGACACAAGAUGUAACUUGGCACUUCCAUCCUCCAAAGAAAUUCUUAACUGUAAGUCACAAAGAACUCAACAUCUAGGAACAAACAGAAGUGUGUCUUAAAAGACUAUUCUAAGCCACACUAGCUGAUGCAAACGCAAAUCACUUUAAAACAUCAUGAUCUAAGUAAUUGAAUCAUUUGCAUGCCCCUAGAUGCAGAAAGCACUAUUUUUUUCUUUUCCUUUCUUUUCAGAGCCAUGUCAAAUUAUCUAACAGUAUAGGUUUCAGAAAGUCUGGUCCUCCUCACAACAUAUGAUAACUAAAUCAUACUUGCCUUCAGGACCGAUGUUGCCAUUAGGAUGCGGCGAACAAUUGCAAUAGAUGUUAGGAUGGAAACAACCAUAACAGAUGUCAUAAGAAUGGCAACAGCACGUAGAUGAUUUAGUUCCUGAAAGAAGCAAAUCUUUAGCAUGUACAAAAUACAAAUAUACCAGUUAUUAUUAAAGCUACCUAAUAAAGAUAAAAACAAUAACCCACCCGUCCAUAAACAUGUAUGUAUGGAUCAUGCUCACCAAUGAUAGGGGAGAUGGCAUCAUUCCCAAUCCAUCCAGCUAAAAAGCAAGAAGAACAAGAUAAAUUUAGUAUUUUAUUGAAACUAGUAGUUCUCCUUGCAUUCAAAUACAUACACGAAACAAAUUAAACUAUUUCUAGUAUGAAUUCUGAAUUUACAGUAUCUGGUAAAGAAUACUAAGAGGUAAGAGGAAUACUUUUAACCUUUUAAGUAGUAAAACAUUGUAACUGUUAUUAUGAGAAUGUUAAAGAGGGCAACUGUGAUCCAUGGCAUUGCAGUAACAAAAUGGCGAAUCAUUAACAGCCAUACUACUGACAGAAAUAGUGGCAAGAGCCCUCCACAAACUAUCAAUACUGGCCAUGCCUUUCCAAUAUCAGCCAUGUAACGCUGCAAUAAUACAUGAGAUUAACUUUAAAAUCUAGAAUAUGUAAAUUCAUAUUUCAUAAAGUUAGAUGAUAACACUUUUCAUUUGUUCGUCACAAUAAGUAUUAAAUAAGCAACCACAUUGAGGAUUGCUUUGCCCAAUAACCAAUAAGUUGACAGAACCUAGAAGUACAUACGAGGAUAAAUUACAGAAAUGUAGUAACAAACUCGUCAUACAGGCAAAGAAGAGUAAUCAUAGUUUAUUGAUAAAUCUCAAGGAGUUAACAGUUCAAACACAAUCUCUCUCUCUCUCUCUCUCUCUCUCUCUCUCUCUCAUCCCCAAUCAAAACAAGCUAGGCAGGAAAUUGAUAUAGGCAAGAUAAUUAAGAUACAUCCUUGACAAGCAUAAAUGUUUUGCAGGAAAGUUGCUCAACCUUUAAGACAGAUGACCGAGAAUUGAUGGACCUGUGAAUGGAUUUAUCUAUUACAAUAUCCUCAUUGAUUUUCACUCCACCCAUCUGUUGCCAAUGCCGCAAAGAUGAGUUUGAUGCACGAGCAAUGAAUUGGCAGCUCCAGUAAACUGGAAAAGCAUACAUUAAAUAAUUCAUAAGAUGGUAAAAGAAAAUGCAUGUAUGCUUUGAUGCAAUAAAUAUUAAACUAUAAAACAAGAAUUUUCAGUUAUACCUACCAUUCACACUAGGAAAUAUAACAGGGUAACAUGGACCCUGGAGUUGAAGGGAAGCAUUUCUCAUUUCUGGUGUAAGGAAUUCAUAAUAAUCGUAAUUUCUAUCGAUCCAGUCAUCCAUUGAAAGGCGGAUAUCCCCUUCUGGAUAAUCACAGACCCAAUUUAGUGAAUCUUCUGAUGGAAUAGGGCAAUCCAACAAGCAUAUGCUCCGAGCAUCAGACAAUUUGAAUUGGCUGUCCUUCACACCACUUUGAUAAACUUGAUUUGGAUUCAACCAAUACUUGAGUUCCAACUCACGAAGACCUGGAUCAGCGUGUUUGUCACCGCAUAAAUUCCCUUUGUAGUCUAGGCCAUAUGUAAGCCUGAUAAGCCAUCCAACAUAGAAAAAUUAUCAAAAUCACAAUAGAGAAAAUAGAAAAAGCUGAAUUGAAAAACAUAGAGUAAGAAGUAGAAUAAGCAAAACAAAAUGAAGGUACAAUACAUACAUGAAUAGGCAAACAGCACCAUAUAGACCUCAUACCCCAAAGAAAUGGAAAGAAAAUUUUUUUUCCACAAAAUAUCAGUAAUUUUCAUUGGUUCCAAGGCCAAAAGUGUUUUCUAAAUCUAAAUGAAUAGUUCUGUAACUAACUCUACAUUACUUCUAAGAUAAGGUGCCGAUGGUCAAGCGGCCAAACUAUGACACCGCCAAUCUCAUAAUUGGAAAAUGUGAGGUUACAAUAUGAUAUAUAAGGAAAGACUUAAGCCCAUAGUUGUGAGGCAUCUUUUGUAGAACAAAACUGCGAAACCUUCAACGUAAAGCGGACAAUUCCAUGCAAGUUAAGUGCAGGUCUCAACAUAAACUCAGGUUUGUCACAUUCAAAUAACUGAAACCAGAACAUAUAUAGGUACUAGUACUCUACAAUUAAAAUCCCAAAGUACCAAGAAAUGCCACAGCCUUACGUAUUGAUCAUCUCUAGCUCAGCUAAGUCCCUGCAAUUCUCAUCUUUAAUCCUGUUUACAAAUAGAUCAGUUAACUGGUUACUAACUACUAGGCGCAACUCUGAAGUUUAGUAAGUACCUACAUUUAUUCCAUAGCCACUGCCUCUUGUCUGCUUCAAAAACCAACAAGAGGGUUUAUGAUGAUUUAUCCAAACAAAGUGAAGGUUGACAUACAAGUCUGAACCAAUUUAAUUAUCAAAAAGGUUAAACCUGAAAUUAGAUGCAACUACAAGUAUCAUCUGAAAACAUAAUUAAGAGCCUGGUUUUGGUAUUACAAGAGUGGCAGCCCCGCAUUCAUAACUUCUGUAUGAUCGUGCAACCAUUUUUCCUACAGGGAACUUCUAAUUAUCUAGUAUGGCCUUUACAAGCUAAGAUGGCAAAUGACGCUAUCCGCAGUUAUCAUCUCCCUGAGAAGAAGCUAUAAACAUAUAACUAAGAAUCGGUGAUUGGUAGUUAACAUCUACAAUGGAGUCAAAAAUUAUUCUAGAACAAAUUCAAGUCAAUUUUUUACCAAAAGACUCAUAAAGAGACCCAUCAGAGCUAAACUAUAAGGAAACCAAAUGAAGGAAUCCAUUUAAGAGAUAAACAAAACAUACCAUAAAAACCCCAAUAAACUGCAAUCUAUGCCAAAAUAAAAGAUGCCCAUUUUGAGAUUCAAAAAAAAUAUUAAGUGGGUAAAGCUUAUAAAAGGAAAUAAAAUAAAAUAAAAUAAAAAAGAAGGAAAGAAAGUUUACCUUGAUGGGUUUCCUUGGUUAAACCCAAAGCUGGAGUUAACAAUCAUAGCAACCCAAAAUGCUAUAAAAAUAACAAGAAAAGCAACAUCUCUACAUUUCCUAUUGUGCCUAAUGAUCCCUCCAAUUUGUGUAGUUCCAUCACUUGAUGGAUACCUUCCUAUCACUGCCCCCAAAGGACCCCUCAUUUUUUCUUAGAAUUAAACAAGAAUUUUAGAAUGGGUAAAGGAAGGGAAUUUGCAGAGCCAGAGAGAGAAAAGGAAGAGCUUUUUGAAGAGUGGAGUGGAAGCUUAGGAAGUGUGAAACUAGGCAGAGAAGAAAGGGCUUUAGAUUGGAAUAAUUUUUAAUGUAUUUUUAGUUUUCAUUUUAAGACAAAGAUUUGUUGCUUUUGAAUAAAAAAUAUUAGUUAUUGUCUUAAGAGUCCAUGUCUGGUCGUGGCUUAGAUUUUGACUGUCCUGUUGGCUUGGCUUGAGAGCCUUCGUUUAGAUAAAUGUCUUGCACUUGUUUUAAUUAAAUUUUAAUGCCGGGUUAAAAGACAAAUAGAGAUUGAGGUGUCUGAAGCUGUGUUAUGAGCCGUUUAGCCAUAUAGCCCAAGACAACAAAUCCACUAAUAAAACUCGCCAUUAUGGAAUUAUCUUUUUUAAUUAAUCUUUAUUCUUUGUUUAUAAUUAUAUUCGUAAUAUAAAUAUCUUGCGCCGCUCCUUUGAAAAGGACAUUACUAUAUAUCAGUGGACUUUUUUUGUCCUACAUAUUCCCUUCUCUCAAAACCGUUGAUCUUCUUCAAAAGUGUUUUUGGUUCACUUUUCAAGAUCCAUCCAACGGUGGAGAAACAUGGCUAAAAUUUACCCCUUUUCUUGUCUUUUCUUCCUUUGUGGGGUAAAAAUGGGAACUUGAUAAAUUUAUUUCAUUUCACCUAGCACAAGGAAUCUUAGCCCACAGUCAGCAUUCCUGGUGACAAAGGCUUGUCCGGAUCUGUUGAUUUCUACAGUGGGUUAAUUUUUAAUUUUUAUUUUAUACAAUUUUUCUUGAACAGUCUGUCAUGCAUGUUCUUUUUAAAGGCCCAAAGGUGGUUUUGAGUCUUGACUAAUGAAGGGCUUGUUUGGUUAUAGGGACUUUGAGAAUGCAGUUUCCUUUGAAGAGAGAAAGAAGACAUAUAGAAGAAGAUGACUAUGAUGAUGGAUCAUAUGGAGAAGACGAAGAAAAGGUAAGAUUUUUCAUUUUUAAGCUUACUGAAUAAGUGCAGGUUCGGUUACUUAUCUCCUCUAAUAUAUUUAUAUAUUUCUGAAUUAACCCAAUUUUUUUGCAAAAAUAAAAGUACCCGUUGUUUUUUUCUGUUGGAUUUGAUCUUGAAUGUUCAUUUUCCCUCAUUUGUAGUAGGAAAUAGCUUUAAAAAUGAUGCCUUUUCCCUCUUUCUUCACCAUAUUUCUUAACAGUACAGUAUUUUGUAAUUGUGACAUUUUUUCUGAGAAAAUGUAUGUUUAUUAUUCAGUCUCCUGACAUGGAUGUAGAUAGAAUCAGUUACUUGCCAAACAAAGUUCUUUGCCACAUCAUUUCCUUUCUACCAGCAAAACUUGCAAUGAGAACCACCAUUUUAUCCCCUAAAUACAGAUACCUGUGGGGUUCUGUUCCUGUUCUUGACUUUGAUGAUACAUUGUUGUUCAAUGGUAGCAAUGGUGGUGUUCAUGGGAUAGGAGGUGUGUGAAUCUUGGACACAUACAUUUCGUCUUCAUUGUAGUAGGCGUCAUAGUUUUCAUCUUAAUGCGUGGAUUAACAAUGCUUUAUCUCUAUCUCUAUAUUACAAAAGUAGCAAGUGAUUUUUGGUACGUAGUUGAGUACACCGUCACCUAAUAUUAGCUAGUGUGCUCAAUCUCUCAAGAAUUGCAAACCAAAUAAUAAAACAAUGUCUUGGGGGUGAUCAGGAAUUCCAAACUAAUUGAUGCCAAACCACAGUGGGUUAUUUAUUGCCUAAUCCAGUUCCAUUUAUCUGAAAGUAUAAAUUUGUCAAACUUUGAUGCCUAGCAUCCUCUUCUUCAGUAAAGGUGAGGCUAGCCAACUCCUGCUGCAAAUCCCGUAUCCGUAAUGGAAUAGUGAGAUUCUGGGUCCAAUCAUUUGUUAAGAGAGUAGAGGCCACAGUUGUAUUGCAAGAAAUGCAACCUGUGAUAUUAUAUUCAUACAUCUAAGCCUACAUAAAAAAAUAAAAAAGUUAAGAUAAAUAAUAUAAAAAAUGCAAAAUAAAAAACGUGAAACUUAUCCAAAAUUAAGUGAAAAAGAUUACUAUAAUAUUGGGAAUUUGAUAAAGUUAAUUCACCCAAUCAAAUAGGUUGGCGGAGAGGAUUUAUAAUAAUGUUAACAAAAUUUAUUAAUCGUUGUCACCUGAUAAAGUUUAAUAACAAAAAAAUACUAUACAUUAUUUAAAAUGAUGAUUUAGAUCUCUGUUUUUAUUAUUCACAAAUCCACAUUAAUCUAUAUAAAAGGCAAAAUUAUAUUUGAUAUUUUAUUCAUUAAAACUGAAAUCAACUUGAACUCAAGUUCGAAGCCAGAAGGCGAAGAUGUAAUCAGCUCCUUGCCAGAUGUUGUUCUUCGUCACAUCCUGUCCUUCCUACCAACAAAACUUGCAGUGGCAAUGAGCAUAUUAUCGCAAAGAUGAAGGUUUCUCUGGGCUUCCGUCCCUGUUCUUGACUUUGAUGUUCCAUCCCGACAAAGGUGGUGUCUAUGGGAUAGGAGGUGUUGAGUCAGACUGAAUCUUGUACACAUACAUUUCGUCUUAAUUGCUGCAGGCGUCGUAGUUUUCAUCUUAAUGCAUGGAUUAAUAUUGCAUUAAAACGUAAAGCACAAGCGCUUGAUCUGUGCAUUGACAUGUACAUAGACUACAAGCGUUUUGCUCAUGUUGCCAGUCAAAAUUAGGUGGUUUUGAAACUGGGAAGACAUCUUGAACUAGAUAUUUAUGGAAUAUAGAUCACGACCACAACUUUUAAUAUAAAUAACGUUUUAUAAUUAUUAUAUUAUAAUUAAUUAAUUAUAAUUUAAAAUUAUAAAAAAAUUUAUUAAAAUUUUAUAUAAAAUUUAUGCUUAUAAAUAGCGCUCCCCAUAUAAAUUUUAUAUGAAGUUAGCUUCCUUUCAAAAGCGUGUUCAAUUACUUGACUUUGUAAACAACGUGUGCGCUCGUUUUAUUUGACUUGGUCAGAAAAGAAAAAGCCAUUAAGAGGCUGGAAAGCCGUACCAUUUUUUUUUUUUUUGUUGGAAAACCAUAGCUCAACAAUUUUUACAAGGUGAUAUUGCGAGAACGUCUCAUAUACAAGAAUCUGAUAUGAAACAAAAUUCAAAUGAUUCAAUCAAAUAAUUAUUUUUAAAAAAUAAUAUUUAUAAAUUUAAAAUUUAAUUUUGUAACUUUCUUAUGUUAAUAUCUUCUUAUAUUUAGGUUUUUGUUAAUUACUUUGAUAAAAUUUUAAUAAAUAUUGCAUAAAAAUACAAAUAGUAUGCAACCGCACAUUAGUUUAUAACAAUGCUAAUUAUAAUAAUAAAAAAUUUUUAUUCAUUGUCAGCAGAGUUUUUCAACUGUAUCUUGUGUAAAAUUUUCAUAUUUAUUCAUUUAAUUUCUAAAUUUUCACUUUCAAUGUUUUUUAUUAUAAAAUUUCAAUUAUAAUUAAUAGUAAUAAGAUUCAUUUAAUAUGUAUUAUACAUAUAUAUAUAUAUAAGAAUUCUAGUUCCAAUAGAUCAUUUUCAUUCGAAAAUGAUUUACAUAUUUUUGAAUUUUUUAUUUAUUAUAUUUUUAAAUUGAAAAGAUCAUAUUAAAUUUUUAUAUUUAUAUAUAAUUAUUAUUUAAAAAUAAAUAAAAAUAUAUUUACGUGUAACACAUUUUGACACUUAUAAUUUUUUAAUUUUAUCCCUAAACUGUUGUUUCUUUUAUACUAAAAAAACUAAUAUAUAUAAAUUGUAAGAAUAUAUGUCAAACUUUUGAACUGCCAAAAAAAUACUAUUUUUUAUUAUAUAUUCUAAACUGUAACAUUUUAAAAUUUUUUUAUUAAAAUUAAUUAUAAACUUUAGUUGAUAGAAAGCAAUUCUACUUUACAUUAAAUUAAGCUUGCAUUAUAUACAUAUCUAUAAUUCUUUGAUUCUUUGUUUAUUUUAGUUUUUUUGUUGCAUAAAAAAAACUACUAAUCUAAGAAGUGAAAAAAGUACUGAGAAUACAGUAGUUGCAGGUGACUACGUACAUACUAGUGUUUUAUAAAUAGAGCCAGUAGAAAGAUUAUACGAAUGCUACGUGGGUCAAUGUCAUCCUUUGAACUUUGCAGUCAAAUGUCUAUAUAGAAAUGAUUAAUUAACGAGAGAAGCUCCAGAAAUUAUCCCUUCCCAACGCAUUCCGCGGGGAUUGAUAUUGAUAUUUGUCAAACUUUGCAGUCAAACAUGUUUGUUGUCACAGAAACUGGGUAGCAGAUUGGGUUAUCUUCAUUAUUCAACGUCUGAUUCCUUUCCUCUGGUUCAUCGAUUCGUUACUGCAUCAUGAGUUUCAAAUUGUCCUUCCUUCUGUUGAUGAAUGUAUUUAUUGUUAUUUUCUUCUUCGCUGUAAGAAAAUCCCUUGCGGCGGAGGAAGAUUACUUUACAAUCUGCAGCGUCUCCAGAAAUUGUGGUAGGCUCAACAUAAAGUUCCCAUUCUUCAUUCUGGAGCAGGACUCUGCAUGUGGUUAUCCGGGAUUCAACAUCUCCUGCAGAAACAACACACAACCAAUUCUUAGCUUUCCUGACGGCGACUAUGUCAUCCAUGAUAUCUUUUAUCAGAAUCAAUCUUUUCGCGUGUCAAAAGACAUCGCUUUUGCUAGAGAUGCGGUUUGCAGCCAUUCAAUCUCAAACAUUUCCUUUCCUGAAGACCGGUUUUAUCUCCCCUCAGACCAAAGACAAAUAUUUUUGCUCUUCAAUUGCGACUUAACCUUAUUGACCAGGGAACUUUCACAGUCCAAGGUUAAUUGUUCUGCUGAAGCUAAUACAACGUUGGCACUGUUUAAUAACGAUCCUAUGCAGUAUUUUGCUUCAGAAAUGUGUAAUAACACGGUGGUGGCGCCUGUGGCUACAUCAUAUGAAGGAGAGGGAAGUAUCGAAGAUAUAUUGAAUAGAGGAUUUGUAUUGAAUUGGAUAGCGAGCAACUGUAGCACUUGCGAGGCAAGUGGUGGAAAGUGUGGAUUUGAUUACAGUACCUACCAUUUCAAGUGCUUUUGCCCGGAUAGACCUCACGCUUGGUACUGUCCUCCUGGUAUGCAUUUUUCUCUCGCUUUCUUCUUGUUAAUGCAGUCUAAACAAUUAAGAGGAGAAACCUUCUUUUGUUGUCUUGGGAAUUCUCUAUCUUCUCUGUAGGAACAACUGCCAUUUUACAGUUAAUAGCAUAAUAAAGAUCAUUAGACACAUGCACGCACGUAUCAUUAAAUAUAAGCAUGCACUAUUAUCUAUUUGAUACAAGCACGCUUGAAAAGCAAUCCAAGUAGGAAUGAAUUGGAUUAUUAAAAUUUUAACUCAAAGCUCAAAUAUUAUGAAAUUGAUAAUAUAAGUGAAAUAAAUGAUACUAAGCAAUAAAAGAAUAGGGAAAGAAGAUCAAACACAACUGUGAAUAGAGGUUCGACCAUUCUCUAACAAGGUACCUAUUUCCUCUCUCUUAACUUUCAUGGUCAAGCUGAGUUUUGGCUUAGGAAAUACAAGGAUUGGAUUUUUGCUGUUUGAAUGCUCUAGAAAUGAUAGCUUAGUUUUUCCAUAUAAAUCAUGGAUCUACAUAUUUUUGAAAAAUUCAGACCCGUUAGAAAUUAAGAUGAAAAGGGAUAGCGAAAUUUGGUAUGAUUAUGAAAUUUAAAGGACUACCUUUUUUUUGUUCGUAGAUAAUUCAAAGUAGAGAUGCGAUGAUGUACAAAUUUUGGUGUAUUUCAAUUUCUCAGAAAAAAUACACUCUUUGACUCUCCAUUAGUCUCCAAUCAGUCCUGAAUCCCGAUAGAAACUAGCCCACUUUGUCCCUUUUUUUCUAUUGUAAUCAGAUUAUACAUUUGCAUUUUCGUUUCUCAUGUUGCAGGAAAUGAUUCUACUGGUUUUGUUAUUAAAGUUGCAACAGGUAAUUUACAUAGUCAUCAAGCUGAUUUGCCUUUUUUUUUUCUUCGGUAAUCAGAUUAUACAUUUCACUCAUGAUUUGGAGGAAAAGUCAUUUAAAAAAACCUCUGUUUCUUGAAAAUAUAGAUUGAAAUGUUGUGCACAUGAGCAUUUGGCUCAAUGUUAUCUUUAAAUAAAGCCUAUCUUUGAAUGCAGCUUCUUCAGUUGCUGGAGCAGUAGUGUUAAUUCUUCUUGUCGUCUGCUUGAUCAAAAGAUUCUCAUUCAAGGAUGGAACGGAAGGAGAUAAGAAAAUUGAAGCCUUCCUAAAGGGCCAUGAAUUCCAAACACCCAAAAGGUAUAGAUAUUCAGAUAUCAAGACUAUGACGAACUCAUUCCGGGAUAAAUUAGGUAAAGGAGGCUUUGGGGAUGUUUACAGAGGCAAGCUGCCAGAUGGACGACAAGUUGCAGUGAAGAUUUUGAAUAAAUCAAAAGGCAAUGGGGAAGAAUUUAUGAAUGAGGUAGCAAGCGUUAGCAGAACUUCCCAUGUCAAUGUGGUCAGUCUUUUGGGCUUCUGUUUUGAGGGUCGCCGGAGGGCUCUCAUCUAUGAGUUCAUGAAAAAUGGAUCACUCAACAAGUUCAUAUUUCAAGAGAAGGAACAACGUCAAUUAAAGUGGGAAACUUUGUACCAAAUUGCAGUUGGCAUAGCUAGAGGGUUAGAAUAUUUGCACCGUGGCUGUAACAUGCGCAUUCUGCAUUUUGACAUCAAGCCUCACAACAUUCUCCUAGAUGAUGAGUUCCGUCCAAAGAUAUCUGAUUUUGGUCUUGCAAGAUUGUGUCCCGAAAAAGAAAGUGCCAUAUCCAUGACAGGUGCGAGAGGAACUGCCGGAUAUAUUGCUCCUGAAGUAUAUUCAAGGAAUUUUGGAAGAGUGUCUCACAAAUCCGAUGUCUAUAGUUAUGGAAUGAUGAUUUUGGAGAUGGUUGGGGGUAGACAAAAUAUUAAUGUGGAAGUUGAUCAUACAAGUGAAAUAUAUUUUCCAUAUUGGAUUUAUAGUCGUAUAGAGUUGGAUGAAGAUUUAGGAUUACAGGGUGUUAUGGAUGAAGAUGAUCGAGAAAGAGUAAGAAAGAUGAUAAUUGUGAGCUUGUGGUGCAUACAAACUGACCCAUCAAAUCGCCCACCGAUGAGUAGAGUGGUAGAAAUGAUGGAAGGGAACAUUGAUUCCCUCUGCAUCCCACCCAAGCCUUUCUCAUCGUCACCUCCAAGAUCUCCACCUGCAAAUCCUGAAGUACAACCGGUAUCCUGACAUUGUUCUUCCAUUCAAGUAUUGGAAAGGGAAGAUCCAAGUGCUAAGACAUGAAGGACUGUGAAUGAUGUCGCAUAUUCUUAUGUUUCAUUUCUGUAGAAUUCUACAGAAAAAUGCACCACAUAGAAUAAUUCUAUGGAAAAAUGAAUUACAUAUAAAUUUUAUUGAUUGUAGAAUCUAAAAGUACUAACUCCAAUAUUCAUACCAGAAAAAAGAGAAGACCUCAAAUGCCGUCAUUGAAACUCCUGAUGAGAUAAUAUACUAGUACUCUGAAAUCACCAGCCACCCAAAAUCAUAAAGAAAACAAAUCUGCAGAACGGCCGAUGAAGAUUGCAACGGGGGAUAAGAAUGCAUGGAGUAAUUUACUCCUAUUCUAAAGAUUAUACUCCACAGGUUUUCGUUCUAACAAAAUAUCAGGCAUUAUUCUAUUGAUGAAUAUUUGUUGUCAUAACAGCUUGGCAUCAGCUAAUUGACCAACUUUCCAAUAACCACGAAUUAGAAUUGAAAAUGAAACUACGGAAAGUAAUAAAUGUCUAUCUACAGUACAAUGGAAUUCAUGUCAUGCUUCCAACAUUAAUUUUUGUCUGCCAAAGCUAUCAAUGAGGACGCUAUAACUGAAAACAUUAGUCGCUAUAAUACAUACAAUCUUAAAUUAAUCCACAAACAAAAAUUGGCUAAAAAGCGCAACUGCAGCAAAAUGGAGCCUAAAUGUUUUCAUUUAUAGAUGGAAGAGACUUCUGUAUUGUGUAAAUUUAUGGAUUAAGUAUCAAGUAAUGUUAUAAGACCAUGAAGAGAUUGUCAUCAUUAGGAUUCAUUCUUCUUCUUUUAUUAAGGCAUUGUAUCUUUGACAUUCUUUCUAAGAAAACAUCCAUUAAUGCAGUGUCCUGUGAGGGGUGUAGAUAGAAUCAGUUACUUGCCGAAGGAACUUCAUGUCAAAUCCUCUCUUUCCUUCCGCUGAAAAUACCGUCCGAACAAGCAUUUUAUCCCCAAAUUGGAGGUUUUCGUGGGCUUCUGUCUCUAUUCUUGACUUUGAAGUUCGAUACUAACAAAGGUGGUGUCUAUGGAGUUGGAGGUCAUAAUUAUGUGGAUAGAGUACUGAUGAGGACAUGUAAAUCUUCUAUGCAUAAAUUUCGUCUUCAUUGCAGUAGGCGCUAUAGGUUUCAUCUCGAUUCAUGGACUUAUAAUGCAUUAGAACGUAAAGUUCAAGAACUUCAUCUGUCCAUUGACAGGUUAAAAGACUAUUUCCUUUCAGUUUCUUCUUUGCCUUGUGAAAUUUGGUGGUUUUGAAGCUGGGAAGAAAUUUAUUUUUAAAUAUUUUCUGGAUCAUACCGUUUUCCAAGUCUGAAGAUCAUUCAUCUUGACGCAAUUGAAUUUUGAAGGAGUUCUUCGAGUACAAAGCUUUUUUCUAGCUUCCCUGUACUUGAAGAGUUGACCAUGAAAGGAUGCAAAUUAAACGGAACACAGAAUCUUCAUGUUUCAUCCUCUUCGUUGAAGUCCUCGACGAUAUAGAUUGCUUGUCAUACGAUCGGUAUGAUGAUUAUUAUCAUGAUUUGAGUGACGAAAGUAUGCUGACACUGGAAUUCUCUUGUCAGAUAAAAAAUUCAUGUUGUUUUGAGUAACCAGAAGAAGAAACCAAAUAUACCUAGAUUUCAAGUUAAGAUACUUAGGUGUAUUUCUAGUGCAAAGUUUCUUAGUUUAUGUGAACCAACUGUGAAGGUCAGCUUCUUCUUCUUCUUGUUUUCUUUUUCCUUUCAAUAUCCUAUCAUGAUUCUUUCAUUCUUUCUCUCUCUCCCUCGCACAUAAAUCCAACAAAGUUAUUUCAUUCAAGUGAAUGAAUAACGCAUUCUGAUUUUUGGAUGUAUGUGGAGCUGAAAUAGGCUUCAAGUCUGUUGAACUUAAAGGUGCCUAACAUGGGGGAGUUUCUUGUGCUAGAUGAGUUGCUUUGGCAUUCUAUUAAGUUUUUUUCAGCAAUCGUUCCCGUAUUUCUUCCGUAAAGUAUUAUUAAUUCUUUGUUUGGUAUGUAGAUUUCUCCUCAGUAAAAGCUGAACGUAUCUCAUGUUUAAUAGUUUGACUGAAUUGAGGCUGAGAUGUAAUGAAGGCUGUGGUUCAUUGCUGCUGAAGUUGCUUGAGAAUUCACCUAAUUUGGAAGUGCUUGUCCUUGGGUAGGUGAGUUAGUUUUAUCAUUAUAAAUUUUUUUUUUAUAUACUUGAUGUUAUCAGGAUUUAAAUCUCGAUUAUUGAAAUUAAAAAUUCAUCGCUCUAUCAACAAAUCAUGUAGUUGUUGACUUUAUAAUUAUAAUUUCAAUUCACUAAUAAUGUGUCCAAAUUAAUGUUGAAUGUCAUUUUUCUGACUUCUGUUCCUGACUUUUCAGGAAAAUGGACGGCUUAACCAGAGGCAGCUUGAUAAACUUGUGUGGAAGCCACCGCCAAAUGCGCCCAAAUGCUUGUUGCACCAACUCAAGACAGUUAGAACUUGGGGUUUGAAUGGACAGGAAAAUGCAGUGAAAUUCAAUACCUAUUUGCAAGGAAUGGCAAUGUUUCGAUGGAACUUGGGCCAUAGUGCUAUGUCUAACAUUGAAGAAUGAUCGAUAGUGAGCUGCUUAUCGAACUUUCGUAAUCAUAUGGUAGUGAAAUGUCCUAUGAACUACCAAAUUUUCUUUUCUACAUUCCUUGCAUCAGAUUUGUUCCUGUUUUUUAGUAGGAGCUGAUUUAUGUUUUCUGAGAGACUGUUUGCAUUUUGAAGUCCUCAUCCUAAAUUCCUAAUGUAUUCUAUUUCAUGUUAUAACAAUUGUGUAGACACAUGCAUGUACUCACUUACAUUAUACAUUCACUUAUUAUAUUUAUUUAUUUUACAUUUAACAUGUAUAAAAAAUAAAAUUUAUUAUAAAAUUUAUCAUAUUAUGUCAUAAUUUAUUUUAGCUUAUCAAAUAUAAAAUAUAUAUUUUAAUUUUUGUCAAAUUCAUAAAAUCAUCAAAGAAGAAUUAUAAUAUAUGAUUGACCAGCCAACAAUAAUAAUAAUAAUAAAAAAAGAUAAUUAACAAAGUAUAUGAUAAAAACAAUCCUGUCCUUUGAAAGGGAUAACAACUGUCACAUUUAUAAGAUGUUUGAUUUCAGCUUAAUUCAUGGAUUAACAUUGCAUUAAAACGCAAAGUUGAAGAGCUUUACCUUUGCGUUGACAGGUGUAAUAGACUACAGUCUUUCAUUUGCUCAUUUUGCUAGUCAAAAUUAGGUGGUUUUGAAACUGGCAAGAAAUCUCGAACUAAAUAUUUAUGGAAUAUAGGUCUCGUCUAUAACCUUUAAUAUAAAUCACAUCUUCUAAUUAUUAUAUUAUAAUUAAUUAAUUAUAAUUUAAAAUUAUAUAAAGUUCAUCAAAAUUUUAUAUGAAGUAAUGGUUUUUAUAUAAAUUUUUUAUUUUGAUUGAAUAAUUUUAAGAUUAUAAUAAAAAAUUAUUAAAUAAAAUGAACCCAACAAACUUUUAAUUUUUAAUUGAACAAAAUUUUAAUUUAGAUCUAAAUGAAUUUUUAUAUUUAAAUUUAUACAGUUAUACUCAAAUAAACUUUUAAUAUAAAUUAAAUUUUCAUUUGAAAUAAAAAUUUAUUUAAAAAUAAAUCAAAAAAUAAUAAUUUAUUUAAGUAUAAUAAAAAUAUAAAAAUUUGCUCAAGAAAAAUAAGAUAGUUCAUAAGCUUUUUUUUUUAGUAUUUUAACUAAUAAAAAAUAAUUAAAAUUGAUCUAUAAAUAGAUGUAAGAAUUUUUUUGAAAUAAUAAAUUGAUAUGAGAAUUAAAUUUGAAGAAACGACGACGUAAGUUGUACCCAUUUUCUCAUUCAAGAGUUAGCUUCCUUUCAAAAGCGUGUUCAUUUUCUUGACUUUGUAAACAACGCGUGCGUUCAUUUUGCUUGACUUGGUCAGAAAAGGAAAAGCCAUUUAGAAGUUGGUGUUGAAAAACCAUACCUUCUGUGUAAAAUUUUUUAUACUUGUUCAUUUAAUUUCUAAAUUUUUCACUUUGAAUUUUUUUUAUUAUAAAUUUUCAAUUAUAAUUAAUAGAAAUAAGAUUUAUUUAAGAUAUAUUAUAUAUAUUCUAAAUUCUGAAAUUUAAAAUUUUUUUUAUUAAAAUCAAUUAUAAACUUUAGUUGAUACAAAGCAAUUCCAACUUACAUUAAAUUAAGCUUGCAUAUAUAUAUAUAUAUAUAUAUAAUUCUUUGAUUCUUUGUUUAUUAUAGUGUUUUUUUACAUAAAAAAAAAUAAACUACUAAUUAAAUUACUAAGAAUACUUUGGUGAAAAAAAGUACUGAGAAUGCAGUAGUUGCAGGUGACUACGUGGGUCAAAGUCAUCCUUUGAACUUUGCAAUUAAAUGUCUAUAUCAGAUGGAAAUGAUGGUACUGAUUACUUUAAUGAGAGAAACUUUUAGAAAUUAUCCCUUCCCAACCGAUUCCGCCGGGGUUGAUAUUGAUUUUCAUCAUUCAGAGAUGUUUGUUGUCACAGAAGCUGGGUAGCAGAUUGGGUUAUUUUAGUUAUUCAACGUCUGAUUCCUUCCUCUGGUUCAUCGAUUCCUAACUGCAUCAUGAGUUUCAAAUUGUCCUUCCUUCUGUUGAUGAAUGUAUAUAUUGUUAUUUUGUUCUUCGCAGUAAGAAAAUCCCUUGCAAUCUGCAACGUCACCAGAAAUUGUGGUAAGCUCAACAUAGAGUUCCCAUUCUUCAUCCAGGAGCAGCAGGAAGCUAGAUGUGGUUAUCCUGGAUUCAACAUCUCCUGCAGAAACAACACAAACCCAAUUUUUAGCAUGCCUGAUGGCGAUUAUAUCAUCCAUGAUAUCUUUUAUCACAACCAAUCUUUUCGCGUGUCAAAAGUUACUCCUGACGUCGAUGAAAUUUGCAGCCAAUCAAUCCGAAACAUAUCCAUUCCUGGUGACUGGCUUUAUCUCCCCCAAGGCCAAGGAGAAAUGGUUUUGCUCUCCAAUUGUAACUCAACCUUGCAAACGAAUUUGACCUGGGAUCUUGGACAGUUUAAGGUUAUUUGUCCUGCUGAAUAUAGAACUAAAAUAACGUUGGAAAUGUUCAGUGACAACCCUAUGCUGGAUUAUGCUUCAAAAUAUUGUAAUAAAUCGGUGGUGGUGCCUGUGGCUUUUUAUGAUGGAACAGAUCCGGGUAUUAACGAUGCGCGAGGCAGGGGGUUUGUUUUGAAUUGGAUAGCGAGCGACUGUAGCAUUUGCGAGGCCAAUGGUGGCAAGUGUGGAAUUGAUAAUAGUACCCGCCGUUUCAAGUGCUUUUGCCCGGAUAGGCCGCACUGUACUCCAAGACCUGGUAUGCUCUUUUCAAGAUCUAAAAAAAAAAAAAAUCAAAUCAAAUCUCAAUACACGACCUAAUAGCGUAUAACUAUGAGAAAACUUGACAUAUAUCACCUUGGUUUUUCCUUGGAGGAUAUAUAAAUCAUGGAUCUACUUAUGUUGAAAAGUUCAGACCCGUCAGAAAUUAAGAUGAAAAGGGAUAGAGAAACUUGGUAUGAUUUUGAAAUAUAAAAGAUUUGCUUUUUUUUUUUGUUCAUAGAUAAUUCAAAGUACAGAUGCGAUGAUGAACAAAUUUUGGUAUAUUUCAAUUUCUCAAAAAAGUACACUCUUUGACUCUCCAUUUGUCUCCAAUCAGUCUUGAAUCCUGAUAGAAACUAGCCCACUUUUGUCUUUUUUUUUUCUUCUUCGGUGAUCAGAUUAUUCAUUUGCAUUUUCAUUUCUCAUGUUGCAGGAAAUGAUUCUACUGGUUUUGUUAUAAAAGUUGCAACAGGUAAUGUACAUAGUCAUCAAGCUGAUUUGCCUUUUUUUUUCUUCAGUAAUCAGAUUACACAUUUCACUCUUAUGAUUUGGAGGGAAAGUCACUUAAAAAAAGCCUCUGUUUCUUGAAAAUAUAAAGAUUGAAAUGUUGUGCACAUGAGCAUUUGACUCAAUGUUAUGUUUAAAUAAAGCCUCUCUUUGAAUGCAGCUUCUUCAGUUGCUGGAGCAGUAGUGGUAAUUAUUCUUGUCUGCUUGAUCAAAAUAUUGUCAUCCAAGGAUGGAAGGGAAGGAGAUAAGAAAAUUGAAGCCUUCCUAAAGGGCCAUGAAUUCCAUACACCAAAAAGGUAUAGAUAUUCAGAUAUCAAGACCAUGACAAACUCAUUCCGGGAUAAAUUAGGUAAAGGAGGCUAUGGGGAUGUUUACAGAGGCAAGCUGCCCGAUGGACGACAAGUUGCAGUAAAGAUUUUGAAUAAAUCGAAAGGCAAUGGGGAAGAAUUUAUGAAUGAGGUAGCAAGCAUUAGCAGAACUUCCCAUGUCAACGUGGUCACCCUUUUGGGCUUCUGUUUUGAGGGUCGCCGGAGGGCUCUCAUCUAUGAGUUCAUGAAAAAUGGAUCACUCGACAAGUUCAUAUUUCAAGAGAAGGAACAACGUCAAUUAAAGUGGGAAACUUUGUACCAAAUUGCAGUUGGCAUAGCUAGAGGGUUAGAAUAUUUGCAUCGUGGCUGUAACACGCGCAUUCUGCAUUUUGACAUCAAGCCUCACAACAUUCUCCUAGAUGACGAGUUCCGUCCAAAGAUAUCUGAUUUUGGUCUUGCAAGAUUGUGUCCCGAAAAAGAAAGUGCCAUAUCCAUGACAGGUGCAAGAGGAACUGCCGGAUACAUUGCUCCUGAAGUUUAUUCAAGGAACUUUGGAAGAGUAUCUCACAAAUCCGAUGCCUAUAGUUAUGGAAUGAUGAUUUUAGAGAUGGUUGGGGGUAGACAAAAUAUUAAUGUGGAAGUUGAUCAUACAAGUGAAAUAUAUUUUCCACAUUGGAUUUAUAGUCGUAUAGAGUUGGAUGAAGAUUUAGAAUUACAGGGUAUUAUAGAUGAAGCUGAUCGAGAAAGAGUAAGAAAGAUGAUAAUUGUGAGCUUGUGGUGCAUACAAACUGACCCAUCAAAUCGCCCACCAAUGAGUAGAGUGGUAGAAAUGAUGGAAGGGAACAUUGAUUCCCUCAGCAUCCCACCCAAGCCUUUCUCAUCGUCACCUCCGAGAUCUCCAUCUGCAAAUCCUGAAGUACAACCGGUAUCCUAACAUUGUUUUUCCAUUCAAUUAUUGGAAAGGGAAUAUCCAAGUGUUAAGACAUGGAGGACUGUGAAUGAUGUCGCAUAUUCUUAUGUUUCAUUUCUGUAGAAUUCUAUAGAAAAAUGCACUAAAUAGAAUAAUUCUAUAGAAAAAUGAAUUACACAAAUUUUAUUGAUAGUAGAAUCUAGAAACACUAUCUCGAACAUUCAUACCAGAAAAAAUAGACAUCACCUGAUGAAAUAAUAUACUAGUACUCUGAAAUCACCAGCCACCCAAAAUGAUAAAGGAAACAGAUCAGCAGAACGGCUCAUGAUAAUUGCAGCAGGGGAUAAGAAUGCAUGGAGUAAUUUACUCCUAUUCUAAAGAUUAUACUCCAGAAGUGUUUGUUCUAACAAAAUAUCAGGCUUUAUUCCAUUCAUGAACAUUUCUCAUCAUAACAGCCUAGCCUCAGCUAAUCGACCAACAUUGCAAUAACUCUAUGUAACACAAUAAAUGUCUAUCUAGAGUACAAUGGAAUUCAUGUGAUGCUUCCAACAUUAAUCCUUGUUUGCAAAAGCUAUCAAUGAGGAUGCUGUAACUGACAAUAUUUGUAUGCUAUAAUAUAUACAGUCUUAACUCAAAUUAAUCCACAAACAAAAAUUGGCUAAAAUGCACAAUAAUUUCCUUAACUUCUGUUAAGAAAAAAACCACCUAAUUUAUUUUCUCUAAUUACAUGCUUUGGAUGCAUCAUGGGCAGUGGGCCGGAUAAAAAUCCUGUGUUCAAUAAACCUUGGGAGAGGAAAAGCAAAAUAAUGAGCCAAAUAAACCUGAUGAAUCAUAAAGAGCACAUACAUAUAUAAAUGCUUAAAUGAGAGCAUGAAAUGGGUAAAAUUUAUUCAAAAGAAAAGGAACAUUUCUUGCUUGGUAUACAUAAUGCAGGUUUUUUCAUUGAUAUCAAGUGCAGCUCCAUGUGAUCAGUAGCGUUAUUGAUACAAAAUCUUUAACAUUAUUUUCACAAUUUUUUUCAAGCAACAUGAUUUUUACUUAUAUUAACUGAGAUUAAGAUAAUUAACCUUAUAAACAACAUUUAUUUGAAUUAUAUCUCAAAAUUAAAGAAGGGAAAAUCAAUAGGACUUACUAUUAUCUUCAAGAAGAAUCUCUCACUUGAAUGUAAGUUGACAUGUCUCGGAACGUCUUGGAAACUUUGAUAACUUCUGGAGCAAGGCAAACUUUGACUCGAAAGACAUAUCAAAGCUACUACAUAUUUCGAUCAACUCCAAAGCUCUAGCAUUCAUUAAUAUAUACUCCACCAUUUUUAGCUCAUGCUCACAUCCUUCAAAUCCUCUGCAGAGAACUUUUCUUAGGUGUGGGGAUAAACAUUUGGGAAAACACUCUUGCUUAUUCCUCAUGAUUAUUGGAUUCUGUGGCCAUGCAAAAAUUUUCCAGUUAGCACAGAUAGCAUGAUUCAUAAUUAAUAGGACAUCAGCAAUUAGAAAAACAAUGAAAGCCUUUAACAUUGCAGUUGGAUUACAAAAAACUAGGACUAUUUCUUUUAUUAUUUGGGAAAGAGGAGAUUCGAACCCUGAUGUUUACGCGGGACUGUUAUACACCAACAAUUCAGUCAAAUGAUUGAAUACCAAAAGCUAUGAUUUAAACAACAAUGAUUAUAUUCCGUAACGGAUUAAAAGUUUUUAAUUGAACUAACCUCAAGGACAAGGACUUCUAAAUUAGGAGAAUUGUCAAGAAAGUGUGGUAUCACAUCCCAGUCUUCAAAACCAGAAUGUAGCUCUAGUUGGGUCAGAUUAAGAAACAAAGGAAAGGAGGCAUUCUCAAGUGAUGCCUAUAAGAGGAGAAAAAUAAGAGAAUCAUAGUCACCAUAGACAUAUUAAUACCAGAAAUAAACAUAAUAACCAUGGUAAAUAUAAUCAGCAAAAUAGCAUAUACAAAAAGAGAUGAAAAUCAAGCUUUGAUACAGAUUGUGCACAUUCUUACCCUGGAGUUGCCACAACAGGUCCAUUUCAAGAAAAGAAACUUAGCAUUGCAGAGGGCUUUGGCAAGUUGGAACAGGCCAGUUCCAUGAAAAGAAAUAUUUGCUUUGAUUAAGCUAACAAAGACACUUUCCAAGUGCACCAAACUCUCCAAAUCUAUAAUUUCAAGGUACUCAAGAUUCGGGGCAUUUAUCGUAAGCUCAUAAUGGUAACUGUGACUAAAAUAUUCUAACAAGUUUUUUGGUUCUAAAAGCUCACUUAUGUUCAAAGUCUUCAAUGUAGGUACGGAAAUAAUGAAAUUUCUCACAUUAUCUCUGAAAGAUCUGUUUACAAGCAAUUCCUCCAAAACAGUACAACCCUGAAGAAGCCUCGAAACAGAAUCAUUAUUCGCGUAUUCAACAAAAUCAAGAUGCAAAACCUUUAGACUUGGAAAACAAACUGACAUGCUAUUAGGAACAUCGAUAAGAAUUCCUUUACUCAGUUUCAGAACCUUUAAAUUCUUGGUCGUGAAAACACAGCUUGGGAGUUUCAAGAAAUGGGAUUUUUGUGUAGCUGAAACUGAGAUAUCCACUUCUUGGACGAUGUCUUUGCGAAUUGCACCAUCAAUCCAUGCGUUAAGACACGAAGGACCGUGAAUGAUGUCGCAAUUGAGACGAAACUUGUCUAGAGAAACCGCCCUGUUGAGGAUCAAAGCUCUGUAAACGAAGUGCAUGAAGUCUAUUCUCUGUUUUUCAUUGGUUUCGCAACUUGGUGAGUCCUCAAAAUCAAGAACGCGAACCCAAGUCCAAAGUGAAUGCCAUCGUUUCGAAAGAACGGAUGUGGCCACAGCCUCUUUCGUGGGAAGAAAAGAUAAUACGUGGUGAAGAAUAGCAUCAGGCAAAUGGUUAAUGUUUUGGCAAAUCGGGUUUCCCGAUAAUUUUAAGGAAUUUGACAUUGUUAAAGAAGACGUUCAAGGAACUAUAGGGACGGGAUUAGGUGAGCUUAAUUUGUUUGAUUAUGUGACUUAGUCAUCAAGAGCAAUGGUAGAAAACGGAUGAAGAAACAAAGAAGUCUUUUUGAAAGUAAGGUUGGGAUUGGAUUCGUAUGUGACAGUGGUUUAGUGAAGUGUUUAGUUGAAGUUUUUGUUCAUGGAAGAUGCAGAGAAAGUCUUUGAGGAAUUGCCAGUGAGAGUUAAUGAAUGAUUGAGGCUUUUAUCGUGGGAUGCUUUGGUGCUGGAAUUCAGGCUGAUUUUGCCCACGGGACAGAUGAUUCGUAGAAUCACAGUCUACCCCUGAAACCAGAAUUACAUAUACUUUUAAAAGAACUCUCAAGAAGCAAACUGUAAAAAUCCUAUUUUCACAAACAAACGCAAGAAAAAAAGUUAAAACAAAAAGCUUUCAUUAAUCUCAAAGAAACAAGAAGACCCUUUUCCCGAUAAAUGAAAAUAAAGGUGAAUUUGCUAUCAAAACCCAGAAAAAAAAAAUCUCAUAAACAGACAGCCAAAGAUAGUGAAGAAGCAAAGAAGAAGUUCAGUUUUGAGAAAGAAAGAAAGCUUACAGCAGCAGAUUGAAGCAGAAGCUGACAUUAAGCUGACAUUUUUUAGAGUGACAUCAGUUUCAUUAACAAAGAGGAAGAAAACAGGCUUUGUUUUGUAAUUUUUUUGUUGUCAAUUCUCGCUCUUUCAACAGAAACAGAGAUUCAAUGUAGAAAAAGUUGCAAAAACCUUCGUAAUAUUAAUCUGUAAAAGGCAAUAAAAGCAGUUUUAUAGAUAAACACAGGGAAUCAAUACUUUAAAAAAAUAAUUGGAGUGAUAAUUUGGGAUAGAGAAUUUUAUUUGAGAAGCAAAGUGUUUGUUUUUUUUUUUAUCACAUGAAUGUUUUAUUUUUUUAUUAAUUUUGUUGGGUUGUUCCGUUCAUGUGUAAAUAAAAAGUACUCACAUAUAUGCUUGUAGAGCUUACAUCCGUAGUUUCACAAUUUUUCAAAAAAAUUGUUGAAGAGGCAAAAAUUAAAAAGAGAAAAAGAAGGCUAAAAUAGAAGCUUUUGGAGUGUCUUGAAGGUUAAGGCUCCAAAUUCACGAUUUUGUUAAAAAAAAAAAAGAGAGAGACUUAAAAAAAAAAAAAAGAAAAGAAAAAGGGGAAGAGAAUGAAAAAGUUGUUAUAAACAUAAAGUAACUAAAAGUAAACGAUUCUGGAGUGUUCAUAGAUGUUCAUAGAUAAAAUUGAAUUAUAUUCAUAUUUGAUAUUAAUAAUUCAUAUAUUUAUUCAGAUUUAAUUUGAUUUAAAAUUUUAGGUUUUAAAUUUUUUUAAAAUUUAAUUUAAAUUAAAAAAUAAAUCUUAAAUAGACCCAUUAAACUUAAAUUAUAUAAUAAAAAAUUAAAAAAUAUUAUUAAAUUAAUGUUAAUAGGAUUAUAUUUAAUUCAUAUAUAUAUAAAAAUUAAAAAUAAAAAUUUUAUAAAAAUUAAAAAUUAAGUUUUAUAACAUAUAUAUAUUAUUUUUAUUUUUUAUAUAUGUAAAUUAAUUUUUAUAUAUUUGAAUUAAUUUAUAUAUAUUUCACAUAUAUAUAAAAAUAAAAAUUUUAUAUAUUUGUGAAUUCGAGUCAAUUAAAUCAAACUCGAGUUUUUAAUUUUUUGUUUAAGAAUCGAUUAAAAAUUUAAAUAAAUUUAAAAAUUGUAUCUAAACUCGUUUAAUAAAUUUUAAUUUUUUGUUCAAACUUUCUUAAAAUUUAGAUAGACAGGUAGGUAGGUUUGGGAAGGUAAUCCAACCUUUAAACAGGUUUACUUAUAUUUUAUCACUUUUACAAUUUUGAAUGUUUAAGAAAAGAGACAAAGGGGAAAUGAAGAGGAGAAAGAGAAACAAAUAGAGAAACUUCAUGAUUAUGAAAAAAUGAAAAUGGGAUAAGAAGAGAAAGAAAGUGAUUGGAGGAUGGGUAUAAAACAACCUUACAUAAAAGUGUAAGAAAAAGAUAAGUGUUGAUCGUUCGUCAAUUUGCUCUAAGAGAGAGAUAGGGGUGUUGAUCUUGUGUAUUUUUAUAAAAUAUUUAAUGUUGCCUUGAUAUUAUUCCUUUUGAUUUUUCUCAAAAUUUAUAAGAGUUUUUUGCAUGAACUUUUUAUCUUCAUCAGAUUAAGGUAUUCUAAUCACUUGCUUUAAAUUUUGGAUUAUUAUAUUAUUUUAAUAUUUAUUAUAUUUAUAUACCUUUUUGAUACACGAACAAUGGUUUUGAUUUUGUUUCCUUUUUAUAAUUAACGCUAUUUAUUUUAUUUUUAUUUUGUAUCCUUACAUCAUUUUAUUUAUUUAGUUGUUUAUAAUUAAUGCUAUUUACACGUUUCAUUCUAUUUUAGAUUUUUUAUUAAGGAAUUGCAUACAAAAUUUCCUCUUAUUCUUUUGGUUUUUUUUUUUUUUUUUGCAUGCAUUUAGGUUUGGUUUGUUGCAUAUAGAUUGAACCCAUCAAUAUUUUUUUUCCACAAAAUUUCCCCAUUGGCGAAAUGUUCAUAUUUUCAAACAAAAAAGAUUUGUUUUUGUUUAGUUAUUUUUUUUAUUAUGAAGGGUUUGUAUAUGAUAGUAGACAGUGCAGGAAAGUUGGUGAUGAAUAGAGUGGUGACGAGAGAGAACUUUAACAUUUUAAAAGUGUGAGAAAAGAAAUUAGAGGUGUAUAAAAAGAACCCUAGAGUGGUGUUGAUUGUGCUUUACUCACAUGGUAAUGCAAUUGAUUUGGGUUAAAUGUAUGAUUUUUUUUGUUUUAGUGAAUUAGUUUACAUCUUUGAUUAUUGGGGUAAGUUGAAAAACUUAAUCUAAGACAUUUUAUUUGAAUGAUCAUGUAUUUAUUUAUUUUAUUUAUUUUAUGUGCAUUUUGUAAGUAUGAUUAUUCUAGAUAUGGGUAGUCAAUUGAAAAGGUAUGCAAACAUAUUGGUUUUUCUUUUUUUUUUUUUGGUUAUGUUAAUUAUUUGUUUGGUUGGUAAGAAAGAAUGUUAUUUAAGGAAGAAGUUUUCAAACAUUGGAUCUUUCAUUUUGUGAUUUAGUGAUUGAGAAAGUUAGGGAGUGAUGAGGAGAGGACCUAUGCCUUCAAUUUUUAUUUAGUCAUCACUUUGCUUUUAUGUUUGUUAACUGAUAUUUUAGUUGUCAAAAUUUUGAAAUAUUUGAUGAAUCAAGAAUUUAAUACAUUUUAGUUUUUUUCCUCUUCUGGUAUAAAUGAUUACAUUGUUUACUACGAUUAUUUUUAAGACUAAAAAAUUUUUAAUGCAAAUCUAAUUUAUUAUUUUAAUUUUAGGUUACUUAUCUUUUAGCCCAUGGUGUCUAUGAAAAAGGGAUCAAUAAGAUAUGUAAGAUAACACAUGGUAAUAGGGUGAAGUUAUUUUCCAUACCUUGGUUGAUUUCUACUUUUGUUGUUGCAAAUAUUAUUAUGUUUAUCAUCAUCAUGUGUGUGAAUAAUUAUCCCAAGAAUUUUGUUUCUCACAUUACUGAUUUCUUAAGUAGGUCUUCCUUUUAGCCUUUUAAGGAGAAUUCUCUUGUGGGUUCUUUUUCUGCCGCUAAGCCAUUUAUUGUUUUGUUGGUUUGUUUUUCUUUGUUUCAAUUGAAUUUUUUCUUAUUUUUUUAAAUUUUAUCUACUUUUUAGUUCAUGGUUAUUGGGUCUAGGAUGUUUAAAAUGAGGGCUCUAGAUGUAAAGAAAGUGGUUGAUGGACACUAAAGAUAUCACCUUAUUACUUGCAAUUGGUUACAUAGAGGAAUUUUUAUUUGUUGGCAAACAUUUUGAGUCUUUUAAUAAUUAGAAUCUAUAGUUCAUGCUUACCUUGGAAUUGAUGCAUAGGGUCUGCAAUUUGUAAAUUGUUUGAACUUCCAUUUUUUAUUGUUGCUUUUGUAAAAUUAUUUAAUUCAUGCUUGCCUUGGAAUUGAUGCAUAAGGGCUACAAUUUGUAAAUCAUUUGAACUUCCAUUUUAUAUUGUUGCUUUUGUAAAAUUGUUUAUGUUUCAUAUCUAUUUUCUUAGCUCAAUUUAUGCAUGUCUAUGGAAUCAACAAAGGCAUGUUGGUAAGAUAAGCCUUGUUUUUUUUUUACUAAUUUUAACUUUUUUUACUAAUUUUUUUUCUUAAGAAAACUAUUUUUUAAUUUUUCUUACAAGUUGGUUUGACAAGUUUGAGGUUUACUAUAAUAGAUGUUUGCCAUAUGAAUCUCUACAAAACGUUAUGCAUUCCACAUGGAAGUGGUGGACUUGGCAUGGCACUUAUUGGAGUCAAGAAGCAUUUGACACCAUUUCUGCCUCCACAUCUUGUGGUAUAUAUAUGCUUGUGUAUGUAUAAAUUUUUGUCUUUUCAUGUUCAUAUUAUGAAUCUUUAGGCAUCCCUGUUAAAAGAAUUGCAUUCUAAAAGUUGGUUUAGACUAGACUUCAUUUUUAUAUCUUAUCUUUAAAAUUUACUGAUUAACAAUAUUUUUAUCAUAACUCUAUCGACAUAUAUGUGGUUGAAAUUUUGAAUAUAUCAUUACACAUGUUGUUAGCUAUGACUUUUAGUCUUAUCAUUUACCACGAGUGUUACAUUGCUAAAGGUAUUUAGUGAUGGAUUCUUCUGCCACAAGAUAUUUUUUUCCAAUGUUGAUUUUGUUAUAAUCAUAUUGUAGGUACCUACUAAAGCUUCAAGGAUAACUAUCUUGAAUACAAAUUACAUGGUAAAACGCUUAGAGGUAAUUGCCUUUUCUUUGAAAAUUUAUGUUUAUAACAUGUGGAAAUCAAAAUACGUUUUGAUUUUCAUGAAAAAGUAUGACCUGUCUUUUACCAUCUAUUAUCAUUUUAGGUUUCUUUUGUUUUGUAAAAAAUGAUUUUUGAAAAAUAAUUUUUAAAAAAUGUUUAUAUUUCCUAAAUUGAAAGAGAUUUUUUAUUGUUUGGAUAAUGAAAAAUGUUUUUUAUUAUUUGGUUGUUUUUUGGAAAAUUCGUUUUUUCUUUCCAAAUAAUAUUAAUAUAAUUAUUAAAAUAUUAAAAAAAUUUAUUAUUAAAAUAUAUUGAAAUUAUUUAUUAUUAAAAUUAUUAAUAUUAAAAAAUAAUUAUAUUUAAUAAUAUUAUUAAAUAUUAUGUUAAUAUAAAAAAUACUUAAAAUAAAACUAUUUAUUAUUUUUAUAUUAUUUAUGAAUAUAUUAUAAUAUUAUUUAUUAAUAUAUUAUAUUAAUAGUAUAUUAUUUAUUUAUAUAAUAUUAUUUAUAAGUAAAAUUAUGCUAAAAAAUAUUGAUAAAUAAUUUUAUUCAUAAAUAAUUUUUUUUUGAAAAAUAUCUUUUUCUUUUCAAAUCAGUAAAAUAAUUUUUUAAAAAAUAAUUUUAUUUUUUAUUGAUUAAAAAAUUAUUUUUCGUUGACUAAUUAAAUUUUUACCAAAUAAAUACUUAAAAAUAUAAAAAUUAUUUUCUACUAAACAAAUGAAAUCUUAAAACUCUAAAAUUAGUUUUUUCUUAUUUUCUAUUUAUAUUUUUAACUUUUUUAAUAACUUAACUUUCAUCUCUCUCAUUAUGAUAAAAAAAUAUAUAAUUACAUGAUAACACAUUUAUUAAAUUCUUCUGAUACCUAUUUUGCCAUUUGGCUGUUGGCUAUACAACAAGUAACUUACUUUCAUCUCCAAUGGCGUAGCAGCAUCACAUAAUAACACAUUUAUUACACUCAACAUGACCGCACAUUUAUCCCUACUGUCCUGACCUACUGGCCACGGAGUCUUAGAAGGAACAUAAAAGGCUCAGUUUCAAACCAACCUAUCCCCCGUACCCUAUGUUAAAAAAAAAAAAAAUGAUUACACAUGCGUUCAACGGCGUAUAUAACUAAGUAAUAUAUUUAUAAUGUUGCACUUUUGCGCCCUGUUGUCCGUAAUCAAUUUUGUUGGCGGGUUCAUAGGUUUGGUGUAUAAUUGAGUUAUUAAAGUAUAACGAAAAAUUAUUGUUAUUUUUUAAUAGAAUAAAUUAUUCUUAUAAUUGGUUUCAUUGAGAAAAGAAAAGUGGUUCAAAUAUUAAAUUGAAUUAAGUUGGAGUUGAUUCACAAGAACGAUUUAACAAUAUUCAUGGGUACCAUGUUGAUGAGUCUAUUCAUGCUUCGUCCAAUGGAAAUUGGAGGAAAAAAAAAAAGAAAAAAAAAUAUAAAAGAGUGAUAAAUGAAAACAACAUAAACUGAGUAAUUGAUUCUCCCAUUAUAUAAAAGACGAGUUUAUUUUAUUAUCGGACAAGAUUUUGCAUGGGGACAAGGAUUUGAGGGGCCAGAAAGCCAUUAACAGCGCCGAGUGCAGAAGCAGCGACGGCGGACGCCUCUGCACUUCCCACCUGAGAAACCUUCAUUCUUACACACCAUCCCACAGUUGUGAUGGCUCAGACAUGGUCCCUUAAAACGAUGGCUCUUUGACUCGCAAACUCUUGCCUCGCUCGGCUCUGCAUUCAUCAACAAAAUAUGAUAAAAAAAAUUAUUACAAUAAAUUGAAAGUAGUGAAAAAGAAUCAGAUCAUACUAAGAUAUAACAUUCGUUGGAAUCGAAGUAACAAAGAAAGAGAUCAUUUACGAUUACCGGAAGCUGAAACAAUGAACAGCAGCAGCAGCAACAUCCCAAACAACUUCUUCAUCUCCAUGUCAGCUAUACUUCUAAAAACAACAGCAGAUGCAUAAACUAUUAGCUUAUGUAGACAAGUCUAUACUUCUAUUUCAAUUCGGCAUUGAUUGAUUAUGUAUAAACAUGCCCGAGCAAGUAAAGGACGUGGCAGCAGGUUUGCUUGACACGAAAGACAACUAGUUUCUGCUUCUGCCAGAUGCUAUGGGCACGUGUUGGAAGAAAUGGUGUACUUGUCAUCUGCUUGUAGUUGUAAAAUAAAAAGUGAUAUGUUACGAAUACCUCUUUUGUGGCCUAUUCAUCAAAUAUUUUAUAUUAUAUUUGGUACGAAGGAAAAAAAAUAGAGAAAAAGGAAAGCAGCCCUGUAAAUGUAAAGCAGAGUAGAGAUUACCUAUGAGGAUGCAGAGAAUGAAAAAUCAGCCAUUCAUGAGCACAAAUUGGUGAAAUAUGUAAAGAAAGAUCUCUUUAGAAGACUCAUUUUCCAUGCUGUUUUAAAGAUUAUAUUCCACAAGAGUUCGUUCUAACAAAUCAUCAGGCAUUAUUCCAUUCGUGAACAUUUGUUCACAUAACAGUUUGGCCUCAACCAACCUACCAACUUUGCAAUAACCACGAAUCAUAAUUGAAAAUGCAACUACAUCUGGCAAUAAAUGUCUAUCUAGAGCACAACGGAAUGCAAGUGAUGCUUCCAGCAUUAAUCCUCGUUUGCAAAAGCCAUCAAUGAGGAUGCUAUAACUGACAAUAUUUGGACAGAUUUUGUUUUCAAGCAUCUCUUCGUGAAGCUCGGUAGCAGUCCUUAUAUCCUGAGAUUUGAAGUAGCCAUCAAUUAGACAACUGUAUGUUACCACGUUGGGCUCUGGCACCUUCUCCAACAUUUUGGAGAACAUCAACAUAGCUUCGUCCAUUCUACCCUCCUUGCAGAAAGCAUCAAUCAAUAUGGUAAAAGUAAUUGAAUUGGGUCCAAACAGGGGAGAAGUCAGCUGUUUAAAAAGGCUGAAUGCCUCAUCCAAUCUUUUAAAUGAGCAAUAACCACAUAUCAUUGUGUUGUAUGUUAUAAUAUCAGGUUUUGGCCCUUUCUCAACAAGUUUACUGAACAGUUCUGACGCCCCUUGAAGAUGACAUUCCUUGAAAAGCAUACUAAGGAGAACAUUAUAUACUGCAAUAUCAGGAACCACUCCAUUCCAUUGCAUCAGCUUAAAAAACUGCAGUCCAGCAGAUUGAUUUUUAUUUUUGCAGAAUCCAUCCAUGAGGGUACAAUAUGUUAUAGCGUCUCCAGGGAAACCCCUCUUAAGCAUUUGAAAAAAAAUUAAGAGUGCUGCAUUCAAUUUUCCUUGAUUAGAAGCAUCUCUAACAAGGACAGUGUAGGUCACCAUAUCUGGUUUUAUGUUGUACAUUCCCAUUAAAGUAUACACCUUCACAGCAUUACUUAACUGUUUCAACCUACAAUAACCAUCCAUCAAGGAGUUAAAAGUAAAGAUAUUCGGUUUCAGACCCCUGCUUACACUGCUAAAGAAGAACCUAAGAGCAUCUGUCACCAUCCCUUCUUUACAAAGACCAUUUAUUAACACACUAUAAACAACAACAUCAGGUAGAUGGCCCUUUUUUAUCAUAUCAUCAAAUAAAUGAAAACCAUCUCUCAAAUUUCCCAACUUGCAAAAGCCAUCAAUGAGACUACUAUAGGUUAUGAGUGAUGGCUUGAGACCUUGUUUGAUAAUUUGACCAAAUAUGCCACAAGCUUCAAGCAUCCUUCCAUUCCCAUUCAACCCAUUUAUGAGAGUGGUGUAACUAACCACGUUAGGUGAUAAGCCUUCCUCCAACAUUCUCUUAUAAACCUGAACCACUUUUCCCAAAUCCCCUACCUUUCCAAAAGCAUCCAUAACCAAGCUGAAAACAACUACAUCCAACUUGACACCUCGAUCUAAUGCCAUGGAAAAAAGUUUCUCUCCCUCAUCCAAUCUCCCUGCCUUGAAAUAACCAUCAAUAAGAAUAGAAUACAUGAUUAAAUCUGGCAAUACAUUCCUCUCCGUCAUAACAUUGUAAACCUCAAUUGCUUUAUCUAAUUUUCCAUCUUUUGAAUACAUUUUAAUCAAUGUGCUAAACGUCACCACAUUUGGCAAUGGACCAAGAGUAAGAAUCAUAUCAAACAACUUUGAAGCAACUCUUAUUUCAUUAUUUACAGAAAGACACUUUAAAAUCUUGUUACAAGAAACAAUGUCAACCCCUAAACCUCUCUCAGUCACCUCUUUAUGAAAAUUCAACGCCUUUUCAACCUCCCCAUUCUUCAAGAACCCUUCCAUCACAAUCCCAUAAACACAUAAGCUCGGUGUUCUAAACAAUCUGCAUAAUUUACCAUAGUUAUCAAAAAUUAUAUCAACACGAUUCGCAUUAACUAUAGAAUCCAACAUCCUAUAAACCAAAUUAUGCGAGAUAAAAACGCCCCAUUCAGACAUUUUCACUAACACAUAACAACUCAUAUCCAACAUCCCUUUGUUACAGUAACUUUCCAACAAAAACCCAAAAACAUAAUUCGGGUUCGAAUCAAAAUCCUUAAACCCUUCAUUAAAAGCAUCAAAAACAUCAAUAUUUGUACCAAAAUGGGCGAUCAUAUCAUCGAACACCUGAGCUGCGGCAGCCAACAUUCGAUGGCGGAGCAAGAGGUGAAUGAGUGCACAGUAGGAGGGCACAUUGUGAGGUGACUUUAAGAAACUUUGGGUCCAUUGGAAAAAGUUAAGGGCAGAAUUGGGUUUGGCUUGGAGGGCUAAAAGUAUGGGUUUAAUGUGAGAUGGUUGGAGUUUUGAAAGUAAAGGUGGGUUUAAGACAAUCUGUUGUUUUUGGUGAAGAAAAUAUUGAGAAAUUUGGUCUAUUAGGGUUUUAGCUGAAGAUGAAGAAAAGGGUUUCUUUAGAAGCUUUGAAGACAACAUUUGGGGAGUUCCAUAUCGUUUUUUGGGGGAAAGAAUAUGGUUUUAGCUUUGCCGUUUCUCUUACUGACUAUGGUACUUCGGGUUGCUCUGCUUUCAGUUGAAGCCACAUUGCUUUAAAAGGGUAGACUUGGAAUUUCAUCCUUCCUAAAGGUAUAAUAACCAAAAAAUAUAUAUAAAAUUACUAUUCUUUUCAAUUUCUUAAGUCAAUCUUUUUACUUCGUUAUUGUAAUAAAAAAAUUUCUUGAAAUUAUUUUCAGAAAUAUAAAUUUUUAUAUGAAUACUAAGCAAGUUGUUCAAUUUUAGACUUCAGUGCUUUGAACAACGUUUUAAUUAGAAAAUAAAACAAAAUUUUAUAUUUAAUAUAUUACCAUAAUAUAAAUUUAUAUAUUACAUCAAUUAAUCAUAUAAUAUCACUUCAUUAAUUAAAAAAAUAUAAAAUUUUACGAACUUUUAAUAAGGUGACGGAUGAACUUGGACUUUGAUGACUUUUUUGGAAAUCCAUAAAAUUAAGUUUUUAUGUAUUUAUUUUUAAGAGUUUAUAAAAUUUAUAUUAUAUCAUUGAUGAGAUAGUAUAAUAUGGUUAACUAAUAAUAUAUUAAAUAUAAAUUCAUCAAAUAAAUAUAAGAAUUAAUUAACAUCCAAUCUAAAGCUAAUCCAUUAGUAUCAUCUGACAAUGGUGUCAUAAAAAAGAGCUAGAAGCAUGAUAUUUUGUGGAAAAAAGAAAACAAGAAAUGGCAUAGAAGCAGUAUUUUCUAUAAUGAGGUCCAUAGUCUUGUUGUCCUUUCUGAGUUUAAGCUGCAGUCAUCAAUUGGGAUAAGCUGUAAAGAAGCAACAACAUGAAUAAUCAAGGAUUUCAAAUUAAGAUACAAAAUUUACUUCGUGUUAUGUUGCCAAAAUGAAAUCCCAUUUGUUAAGACCUGAAUCACCUGAUCUGCUGAGGAACAAGUGUUUCCAACUGACUCUUCCGAGGAUCAACAAGGGGAAGUUAAAGAUUAAAUGCAAAUGGAUUAACAAAAGCAACUAGUUCCUUUAAAAAAUCUAUUUGUACCAUUUGUUCUUUGACAUAAAAACAAGGAAAUAAUCUAGAGGCAAUCUAAUUUUCAUAGUGAACAAUUGUUUUUAGGCAACAAUAAAACCAGUUCAUAUAAGCUGUAGAAAAUGGCCAGGCUUGUGGCCUGUUUGUAGACAACUAGAUUUUUAAUUUUAGGGAUCAGUAUUCAAUUGCGAUAGCCUGAAAUAUAUAUAAAAAAAAGCUGUUGGAAAUUAAAAGCUAUAAAACCACUUGUUUCAGUACUAGUCUCUUAGACCCAACAAACAAUCAUACCAGGCAAUUUUUUUUUUAAGAAUUACAAACCAAAAGAGGUGGGGAAACAGGACCAAACUGUAUCUUGAGACAAGUAUGUCAGUUGAAUUGAAGUUGACAUGCCUUGGAGCCCCUUGGGAACAUUGAUAAUUUCCUGAGCAUAUCAAACUUUGAAUCCAUAGGCAUAUCACUAAUUCCAUUAGUACAAAUAUCCAUCAUCUUCAGAACUCCAGCAUUGUUCAAAAUGUAUUUUACCAUGCUCAGCUGAUAUCUUAGACCUUCAAACCCUCUAAAAUACACCAUUGUUAGGGAUGACGGCAAACAUUUAGGAACAUACUUUGGAGGUGUCCAGCGGCACUCAAGUCCAAGUCCACGGCAAUUAGCAUUCUGGUGACAAGAGAACAACCAAAGCACAAUUCAUUAGACCAAUAAUUAGAAGAAAUAACGACCACUACUUUUAUCAUUGAUUUCUCAGCUAAAUUUGACUCACCUUGGCAAGAACAAGAACUUUCAAAUUAUGAGAGCUUUCAAGGAAACGUGACAGCACACUCCAUCCACCAUAACCAACAUUUAGCUCCAAUCGAACCAGAUUAAGAAACAAAGGAUAAGUUUUGAAGUUGUGCUGUGUUUGUGACAGGAGACAAUUGCAUAUAUAUCAGCAAAAAAAGAAUUGAGCAUUGGCAAUGAUCCCAACCAUAUAAAUUGUCAGAACAUCCUACUCACCAUUAUUGUAUACCAAUCCCAAUUGAAGGAAAGAAACUUAGCAUUGCAGAGAGCUUUGACAAGUGGAAUGUGGUGAUUUCCAAGUAAUGAAACUGUUACAUUUGCUUCAUCUAAGCUAGAGACAUCCUCAACAUCAUAUUCCAGUUGGGGCAGGUUGGCUUGGAGAUUUAGGUACUGAAGAAUUGGGGCAUUUAUCUUCAGUUUGCAUGAAACCUGUCCGGUGAAAAAACUAAUGAACAAACUCUUCAAUGUAGGAAUGGAAAUGUUGAAAUUCAGUGCAUUAUCACAAUCCAAAUUUUUAAGAAGCAAUUCCUGGAGAACCGGACAACCACAGAAAAGCCUAGAAACAGAUUCAUCACGUCUGCACUUGAUCCAGACAAGAUGCAAAACCUUGAGACAUGGCAAGGAAACUGUUCCAGGUACAUCAAGCUCAAUCCCAUGAUUCAGUUUCAAAACAUGUAAUGUUUUUGCUGUGAAAAGGGCACAUGGUAACUUCAAGAGAGGGAAAUUUUCCAUUCCCUGGAUGUUUAUGUCUAAUUCUUUCACAUCUCUCGCAACUGCUGCCCAAAAACAAGUUUUAACAUACCAAGGAUGGUAAACUGCAUUGAAUUUGAGACAAAACUUGUCUAAAGAAGCCACUUUGUUAAAGAUUAAAACUUUAGUAAAAAAUUGCAUGAAAUCAAUUCUAAGUCUUUCAUCAGUUUUGCAAAAAAGUGAGUCCUCAAGAUCAAGGAUUGGAACUGAAGUCCAAACCCAAAGCCAUCUUUUUGAUAGAACGGAAGUGGCCACUGCUUCUUUUGUUGGAAGAAAUGAUAAUAUGUGUUGAAUUAGAACAUCAGGCAAUUGACUGAUUCUAUCAAGGCAAGUUUCUUCAUCAGAAAAUUUUGGACGCUUUGGGCUCACAUUGCUUUCUUGAUACGCAAGGUUUGCCAUUGAUGGUGAAUGUGGAAAAUGAGUGGAGAGACAUAAAUUUAUAAAUAGAGGGAAGGGGAUGGUUCCAGACUACUUCUAGUACUGUACAAACCAUAUUCUCAUGCACUUGGCAUGGAGAAUUUCUUAAGUUAGUCUUGUAUAACAAAUUAAUUAAAAUGCUGACACUAUUUUGCAUGUCAGUGUGAAAGUAAAAUUGCACCAAUUGAAAUAAUAAUUAUACAUAAUUAAAUUAACAAAAAAGUUGUUUGAUUUCAUCAAUACGAGUUAGUUCAGUUGACAAGAGAAGUUUUUUUUUUUUUUUUUCUUCUCAAUGAGAGAUGUGCCCCAAAGAAUAAAAUCUUGAAUGUACUAAAUUAAAGGAGUGUGUCUUCAAAAAUUAUUAAAAAAAUUCAUAAUUUUAAUCAUCGGGGGCUUUUGAAUUCCAUUAAAACAUAAGAGUUAGGCAAUUAGCACACGGAACUAUUAAACUUUUCUUGAUAAAAAGUUGCUUUGCAGUCCAAAGCUAGAAUAAAUAAAUCAGACAAAUAUGGUUUCCUUGCAAAUAUUCUUGUCCUUUUUGUUUUUUAUCCUUUGGCACAAAAAUGAUACUUCAUAAACAUUUUAUAAACUUAAUUAUCCAUGGAUUGGCAAAGAAAUGAUUCUUCAAGAUGGAGAACUAGGUGUUUUAGUUUCAGGGGUAAUUUCGUCCUGCUCUGACUCAUCGUCCACUUCCAUUGUUGCCUGUCGCCUGCUGGUGGUCUAAACAUCUUUUCUCCUCUGUCUCUCCAUUAUUUACUUCUUCAAUUGUUAAAGUCUUUCUUGCUUGCUUAGAAACGAAGCAAAAGGAAUGCACUGACAUUUGCUAGACCAUCUUAAAACAAUUACUAUAUCUAAAAAUUGUGACACUUUGACAAUAUAAAGGCUAUAGCAAUGUAUCUAUAAAAAAUGCAAAAGUUUAUUAAAAAUUUGCUUCUCAUGGAAAAUACUUCGCCGGUAAUUAAAAUUUUGAAUACAGUAAAUCGAUACAAGGAGUACACUUGAAAAAUAUAAAAAUUUGUGUUGAAACAAAAUAAAUGAUCAAGAAUCUAAAUUUCAAGCUUAACAUGAAUUUUUUUUAACUAUGUACAAAUUAGGUAGACUCAAUACAUUUAUGACAAGAUUUAUCCCAAGAAUGAAGACCUAAAGACAAAAGGGGGGAAAAAUAGCUGUACUUGAGACUUACAGUAUUGCAACUUGACAUGUCUUGGAGCCCCAUUGGAACUCUGAUAAUUUGUUCAGAACAAAUGACUUUGAAUCAGGAGACAUAUUAAGGGUACAAAUUUGCAUAGUCUUCAAGACUUUAGCAUUCUUUAAAAGAUAUUCUAUCACUUGCAUUUCACUUCCUAAACCUUGAAACACUUUAAAAGAAACUGCUGUUAGAUGUGAUGAUACACAUGUAGGAACAUGCUCCGGUUGUGUCCAUCGACUGUCGAUUGUUGAGUUAUUCUGAGAAAUCCACAAAACAAACAACACAAAUUGAAGCUACAAUUUAGCAAACACAACUUGAUUUUCGGAUUUUUUGCCUUGAUCGUCCAAAUUUGAAAAAAAAAAAAAAAAACCAGAUAAUUUACCCGAAUUUUAUUAUUUACUACUAUUAACUCACCUCAACAAGAAGAAUUUCUAGAUUAUCAGAGAGUGUAAGCAAGUGUGAUAAUGCAUCCCAGCCAGGCAAACCAAUUAAUAUCUCCAAUUGGACCAAAUUAUGAAACAUAGGAUAAGCAUAGCCAUGGGGCACCUGUAAGAUUAAAAUAGUAUACAAAAAUAGAUUUCUUAAAUGAAUGAAAGUAGAGGUUUUGAACAUAAAAGAACCAAAAGUCAAAAUUGAAAACUGUCACAAAAAUGAAUAAAAUAGUGACAAAUUAACGCAUUCUUACCGGUUCGAAAUACCAAUAUGAAGCUAAGGAAAGAAGCUUGACAUUGUAGAGGGCUCUGAUAAGCAGCUGAUUUAGGCUAAUCACAUAAUUAAAUUUAAUUUUGGCUUGAAUUAAGCUAGAGAAAUUUCCGAUGAAAGAAACUUGAUGGUAAGAUUCUUCGAGUUCCAAGUACUCGAGAGCUGGUGUAUUUAUCUCUAGUUUGUGCUCAGCAUAUCGAAGGUUAAUGGACAAACUCUUCAAAGUUGAUGACAAAAGUUUGAAAUUAAGUGUCUUUACACGGUCAGGUGUUUUUAAAACCAGUGUCUCAAGAACAAGACAACCAGAAAAAAGCUUGUCAAAAGAUUCAUCAUUGGCGAUGUUGACAUAGAAAAGCUGCAAGGUUUUGAGACUGGGAAAACAAACUGACGACUCACCAGGAAAAUCAAUAAGAAUCCCACCACUUAGUUUCAAAAACUUGAGUUUCUCAGCCUUGAAAACCUGAGAGGACAACCUCAAAAAGUAGUCAUGUUUUGGGGUUGUUCUGAUGGAGAUAUCAAUUUCUUGGACACCUUUAUCAACAGCAGAGCAAACCCACAUGUUAAAACAUUUGGGUUCGUAAAUUUGAUGACAGUUGAGGCGAAACUUGUGCAAAGAAACAGCUUUGUUAAGCAACAAAACCCUAGUGACAAAUCGAACAAACUUGAUCCUGGUUGCUCGUCUGGUUUGGCAACGGAUUGAGUCCUGAAGAUGAAGUACUUGAAGUUUAGUCCAAAAAGGAUACCAUCUUUUGGAGAGAACUGAAGUAGCAACGGCAUCUUUGGUUGGCAGAAAAGAUAGUAUGUGCUCUAUUAACUCAUCUGGCAAUUGGCUGAUUCUGUCGGAUGAUGAUCGAUGGUGUUUCCAGGUUUGGUCUACUGAGAUUUUAGCCAUCUUCAUCAUAAAUCAAACUGCCUAAACCAAGGAUUUUUUGGUUUGGCAGAGUCUUCAUGAAAGGGAAAGUGAAAAGCUAAGCAUCAAUUGAGGAGGAGAGCGACUUAUACUCGUUAACUUUGUUCGAAUUAUUAUUAUUAUUAUAUUACCUUUUUAAACCGUCGUUUUCAUGGACGAUCGAAUAAAUUUAAGAGAUAAAGAUUAAAUUUCCUUUUAAAUUUAUUAAAAUUAAAAAUUAAAAAAAAUAUUGUAUAUAUUGUAUAUAGCGAUCCUUUCUCACUUAAUAAAAUAAUAAAAAAGGAGACUUGAUGUAGCGUAAUUAAAAAAUAAUAAAUUAUUUUUUUAUGCUUAGAUUGCCGAUUAUACGUUGAUUACCGAAAAUAAUAAUUUUUAAAUUUUAUAAACUAAUCGUACGAUUGCACAGUUGCUGACAUAAGGGUGAAGUAUUCAUCUUGUAACAUAAGGGUAUAAUUAGGACACUAUGGCAUAUUCGUCAAGCAAUUCAAAAUUAUUCAAAAUUACCUCAAUGCUUAAAAUACCAAAAGAGUCCUUUUUUCUUUGUUUUUUUUUUUUUUUUUUCCCACAUGGACACUUACAAGGCCAUAGAGGUGAGUUUGAGAUGAUAAAUUUAUCAAAUUAUUUUAAUGACAAUUAUCAAAAUUGAUGAAUUUAAAAUAUUUAAAAAAAUUGUUGACAAAAAAAUAAUUAAAUUUUAAAAAAAUUGUGAAUAAAAAUGAGAAGUUACUGAAAAAAUUCAUAGAUUUGUUGUCAAUUUACGCGUAGCUAUGGUAAGUUGAUUCUAAUGGAAAGUUGUUAGAAACAGCUUUUUUUCAGAGAGUUUUCAUAAACUUUCCUUUUAAAAGCUCAUAGAGUUACUUGGUCAAAAGAAAACAGUUCAUGGAUAGUUCAUAAAAAACGAAAAAGGCCAAAUUCGCGGGCCCCGUCCAAUUCCAAGGCUUGAAAGUCGAAUCGAUGAAGAAACGGUGUCGUUUGAUACACACACUUUUUACCAGAACAAAACCCGUCAAUCAUCUGCAAGGCUACUUUGAAAGCUUCAAUUCUUAUUCGUCAUCCAUUUUCUCUCAUUUUUUAUGAACACAGCUCGCUUACAACUCAUUUAAAGAGUUUAUAUAUGCUUAUUCGUAUAAAUCAUUUCAUGCAUAUUCCGAAAAUUAAGAUACAAAUCUAUAUAUAUGAAAUUUUUUGGUAAAAAAAAAAGAAUUGCAAAUGAUGAAAUUCAAUAUUCAAAUCUAUUAGAUAUUACUUUUUAAGAAUAAUCUCGUGAACUAAUAUAUAAUUUUAAUUAUAUAAUAAUUUAAAAAGAAAACCAAUUUGUUUUCUUUUUGAUAAAAAUAGUUCAACAUUUUAGCAUCCAACAUGCAAUGGCAAAAGCAUAAAAUCUCAUCCAUUAACAUAGAAGAGCUAUUAGGUAUAAAGAUCAAUUUAGCACAACAUACUACUUUACUUAAGAUGGAUCACAAAACAUGCUAUUCCUAAGCAAAAAUGGGAGCGAGGGUGAUCACAAGCUAAUUAAAAAACUGUUAACCCAAUAAAAUAGAUACGAUUAUAUUCAACCUAGUAAGAAUAGAAGAAAAUUCCUUGCUCUGGUAGGCAGUCAAUAUAAAGCUUAGAGCUGAUCCAUCUAUAAGCAUCUUACACGGCUAAUUUCGAAUGCAUCAACUCUGAGCAGCUGUUAGCCCCGUAUAGGCUAUCCCUUCUUACAUGGCAACAUCUGGAUCCAACCUUCUUUGUAUGGCAGCUGCAGCCUGUAAAGACAGAACAGCAAUUCUACAUCAAUCAUUUGUGAUGAAAUAAAUGAAGAUUUGCGCAGAUGAGAUAAAACCAAUUGCGUAUCCUCACCUCGAAGUUGCCAAUUUUGUACUGGUAAGCCAUCUCUUCUCGUAGUUGAGCUUGUUCUUUCAUUGCUUGCGCCUGCAAAAUCAGAUAAAAGAUGGAGGUGAGAAAAUCUAACUUGCCGUGGGUUUAACGGAUUACCAGCAGAAGAGCAACUAAGCUUAAAAGGCUAAGAAAGAUCUAACCAUUCCACUCUGCAUAGCACGUUUCAAAGAUUCAACCUGUUCUUCCUUCUGCUUUUCACGGGCUAUUAGCAAUUCUUGCCUGAAAAUGCAGAAUCAAAAUAUGAGCCAACCCAAAAACAUAAUGCAUGUAAUAUUAACAAGCUUAUCAUUGUCAAGAAGUUCAAAUUUCACAUUCCAAUUUUCAAAUCAAUGAACUGAAGAGAACAGGCACUCACUAUUAGUUUUUCCUCCAAGGAGGCAGACACAAAACUUGAAGCACAAUACAUUCAUAGCAAUAUAAGACCAAUAAACCAGAUAUUACAAGCAGUUUUAGAUAGCAAUUGUUAUGCAAAAUAAACCAAAUCGGCCAAAUUAAAGUUGAGAUUUACCAAAGCUUCUCCUUGAAUAUGGUCAAUGACAUCCUCAUCAUCUUAUUGGACAUCUCAGAUAGAAACUUAAGUUUUGAAUAUGCAUGUCAUACAAAUAGAGUUUGACAGUCUCUGUCCUAGGAUUAUUAAGGGAUGUGUAAAUAAACAGCCUUAUAAAAUUGCAGUUGCAAGAUCCGUAAGUUGAUAAGAACCAUAUAAUAACAAAAUCGCAUUUAAGAAACUGACCCAAUUACAGAUUGAAGAAGUUUAAUUUAAUGAUGAAUCUAAUAACAGAGCUAAAAGAUGCAGCAACUGGCAGUUUUUAAGCCAUUAUACCAAUCAAUUGCAAAUCUGAUUGCUAGAAUAGAGAUUAAGACAAAUAUGAAAGCAUGAAUGGUCAAAUAUAAGUCCAAUCAAUAAAGCUACAUUCAAGAAAACUAGGAUACCAGCUACUUUCAAUUUCAAUACAGCAUAAAUGAUGUAGUGUGAAUUAAAACGUACCGGCGCUGUUCUUCAUCAUUGAAUACAGUUCGUUCUGUAUCAAGAACCUUUUUAACACCCUUUUUCAUAUCCUUCUCCAUUUUACGCUUAUAAUAAGCAUCAAGGUUAUAAUAUCUGUAACCACCAAUAAUCAAGCUAUUAUUAUGUCAGUAGUAACACAGCAUAUAUAUAUAUAUAUAUAUAUAUAUAUAUAUCAAUUCAUGAUUCUUUUAAUCUGGGACUGCAAUAAAUCUCCUAUAAAGAAAAGAUGAAGCACACUCAAAGUUUGGAAGGGGAAAAGGUCUAUCGGCAUCAUUGACAGGAAUACAACCAAAAGACAUUAGAUCAGCAAGCACAAAUUCCUUAAAUAAUGAAAUGGCUUACUUUAAAAUUGUUGUACUGGGCAUAAGAAUUUAUUAACACAUAUUCUUGUUAAACAAGACUCCAUAUUGUUAACAAUAGACAGUCUUACUUUUUGGAAGGAAAGGUGGCCGUGUUGUGAUCUUCCAUAAAUCUGCAAAAGGAAUACAAAUUUUAGAUUUGCAAAUUUCAUUUAAACACGACACAGUUAUGUUUGCCUACAUAAUUCUUAGAAAACCAUGAGAAGAGAACGAUACAACAAUUCACAUACUCUUUAAACAACUGCUUCUCUUCCCAGUUGGGCAAACUUUCCAAGUUUAUCUGUGAAGAGAGAUCAGAAAUAUAGUUAUAAACAAACUGCAAACCAUUGAUGCAAGGAGAACUGAUAGAUAAAGAACAAACAUAUUUCACCCACUACCAUUUGAACGAAUACAUUCACUGUUAAUAAACAAUGCGAAACUAGUUCAGUAAAUGGAAAACCCAUUUUAGCAUCGUGGUUAAAAAAAAAAAAAGAAACCCAAUUAUCAUAAAAUAAAAUAAAAAUAAAAAUAUUCACCAAAUUCAAAAAAUGAAUGAAUCUUUAAAAUUCUAGGGAUUAAUAACAAAAAUGAUGUAACUAAAAUACCUGUUUCACUUCUGCUAACCACGCUGUGAACUCAGGUCGCUUAUUCCUACAUAAUACAGGAACAGUAAUUACUACAAGAAAUAGCAAUAAAGGUUCCAAAUUCCACAUUAAUGAAACAAUUUUCAAUCUCAACCAUAAUAGAACCUUGGAAUCAGCAUUUUUUUUAACAUAAAGAAACAACCUUGGCAACUGAAAUAUGACAUUCUACGAGGAACAUGUCAAGCAUUGCAAUAAAACAAUUUCAUAAUCAAAAAUAAUCUACAAUUUUCUUCCCAUUUUCACAUAUGUAAAUUUGUCUCAUUUUCAACAAUUAAUACAACAAUAGAAUCAGCAGUUUUUAACAUAAAAAAAAAUCAUUGGCAACUGAAACAUGACAUUGUACAAGGAACAAAUCCAGGAUUGCAAUAAAAGGCAUUUCCUACUCAAGAAUUAAGCAAAAAUUUCCCCUCCCACUUUCUCAUUUGUUUCAUUUCCAACAAUUUUCCAAAAAUUAAAAAGUAAAACAGAGUUUGAAAUAAAAGAAAUUUACCACAUAUCAGUUUCUCUGAUAACUCCAUAUUUACCCCAAGAAUUAGUAACAGCACCUUUCUUUCCUCUUUCCAAUUUCUCCUUCUUUUUCUUUUCUUUCCUUUCUUUCUCUUUUCUCUUCUUUCUUUUCCUCUCUUCGUCUCUCUCCUUUUCCUUCCUUCUCCUCUUCUUUUCCUUCUCUUUCCUCCUCCUUUUCCUCUCCCUUUCCUCCCUCUCUCUCCUCUUCCUCUUCCUCCUCCUCCUCUCCUCCUCCGAACUCGAAUACUCCGAUUCCGAAUCCGAAUAGUCAGACUCGGACUCAGAUUCAGAAUCCGAAUGCGAAUCAUCUUCUUCACUGCUAUGUCGUUUUCUUGAUUUGCUUGGUCUUUUCCCUUUGUCGCUUUUGCCGUGGCUUUUAUGCUUUGAAUCUUCGGGUUCGGAUUCAGAAUUGGAUUUCGAUUUCGAUUUCGGGUUAGAUGGGGUUUCCAUUUCUUCGUCGGAGUUUUCUAGGGGAGAAUCGUUUCGAUCUUUGCCCAUGUUUUCGGGUUUUUGGAGGUUUUGAGGUUGAGAGGAUGAAAAAGCCAGGGCUUUAGUAGUUUUGAGGUCGAAGCGGUGGGAAAGGUAAAUGGGGUGUGUUUGGUUGCAGGGAAAAGAAAAUGAUUUCGAGGCCUAGAAAAUGGGAAUGAGUUUGGGUUGGGCUGUAACUAAUGGAACCCACUUUUCAAUAAGGCAAGGUUUUUCAUAUAUAUUUUUUUUAAAGACAUGUUUCAAUUGUGGAUUAUUAUUUGAGUAAAUUUUACAAUUAAUCACUGAAUUUUAAUUUGUUUUAAUAAAGUCAUUAAAAUUUGUUAAAUAUAUUUAAUUUGAUUAUUUUAACAAAUUUCAUUCAUAUUAUUGAUAAAAAUUAUUACCGUCUAUGUAAACUGUCACAUUAUUGUAAUUCAUGAAACCUAAAUUUUUUUUGUCUCUCCUUCUUCGUAUAACUUCCCUCUCUAAUUCUGCAGCCUUCAACGUCAGCUUUCACCUAAAGUUCACAUAAUUUAAAAGCAUGUUCCCAUGGAAAUAAAGAAACGAACAUUGACGACUUUGAAGAAGACAUGUGGAUGUGAAUUCUAAACCGUUACUCUUUUUUUUUUUUUAUGAAAAAAAUAAAAAAAAAUCCAAAUAUAUUAACAAUGACGAAGUAUGAAAUGAUCGUUCUAAAACUUUCAACAUAGCAAGUUCAAGUUACAGAUCAUUAUUUGGUCAGAUUGGCAGCUAAAUAAUUCUGUACCGUCCACCAUCGAUACUUCAAGUAGUUAUAAUUAAAUCUCUAUCAGUGACUAAGUGUGGCUUGAUGUGCCAGUAUUAUGUGUCCUGACAUUGAAAACCGUUUAGGAGUUUUGCCCUCGAAGGCUAAAGUUCUUCAUGGUUCCCUCAUCUUCAUCUAUUUUAUCGUCCUUCAUGCUCUCCAAGAGCCCCUCCAGUUCUUUGCCGUUUCUGAUAUACGCCUUCAAGAGAGCAUGAUACAUAUCUCUAUUUGCUGGAACCUUAGAUCUCAAUAAUUUCCCAAAAACUUCUGCUCUUCAACUUCUCCAUUCUCACCUAGCCAACUCAAUGUGCUAGAUAUAUUAAAAUUGCUUUUGGCCUCCAAUCUUUUUUUUUUUUUUUUGGCCUGUAGAGCAAGAGCUUCCUUAAAGCACUUAAAAGCCUUCUCCAUAAUAUUGUUAUCCGCGUAUCGAGCUGCAACAAUAGGCCAACUGAUUGGACAUGCAUUCUUCCUUCUCUUCAUUAUAUCCUGUAGCUUUGCUUCGGCCUUUUUAAUUAAACCUUUCAGACAAUAUCCAAUAAGGAUAUUUUUGUUAGGAAAAUGGGUCCAAGCUCAUUUAAGUGGUUUUGGAUCAAGUAAAGGCCAUAAGCCUUGAUCUUUCAUUUUACACAGAGCCCUAACUACUUAAUAAAAAAGAAGUGGGAUUGUUUUAAGGGUGUGUCAAAAAUCAAGUAGAGAAAAGAAAAAAAGCCAAAAAAAGCAGAGAGAAAAAGGAGAAGGGAGAGUUGGUUGAACGGAAGUCGAUCCAUGGUUCGAUUGAGUUGGAACCUUGUCAGGAGGUUUAUGAUUUAGAGUUCUACAUUCUGAACUAUGAAGAUCAGGUUUGAAGCUCUCUAGGAAUAAAUUCAGGGUGUAUUUGUUGAGUUACUUAUUUGGUGAGAUUUCUCCAAUUGUUUCUCUAAUUGUUGAUUAGCUCUAGUUUUAGCUAGAGAAGAACUUUGUAUAUCUAUUAUUUGAUAGUGAAGAUUUUUCUGGUGGUCUAUGAUUUUUUUUCCCUCUACACUGGAGGAUUUUUCACGUAAAUCUUGGUGUGCUUUAUUUUUCUUACGUUUUUUAUUAUUGAUAGUUGUCUAUUGCUUCUGUAUUGUUGUGAUUAUUGCUUCAGGCUCAACAAGUGGUAUCAGAGCGAGGGUUAUUUUAAGACAUCAAUACAGAAGCAACCCAGGAUAGAAGUAAAUUCUAUUUGAGAUCAUGGAGGGUGAUACAAGUUCCAUGAUAAAAUUGACAGUAUCGAAUUAUUCAAUUUGGAAGCCUAUGAUGGAGGAUCAUCUAUACUGCAAAGAUUUGUAUGAGCCAGUAUUGAGUGAUUCGGCUAAACUAGCAGAUAUGAAAGGUAAAAGCUGAAAAAAACUAGGUAGAAAAACGCUGGCUACAAUUAAAAAAUAGGUUGAUAUCAGCGUGUUCCAUUAUGUAACACAGGAGUCAGAUACUCACAUUGUUUGAAAAAAAUUGAUAGCAUUGUAUGAGAGAAAAACAUGUAUGAAUAAAGUUAUGCUUGUUAAAAAGCUUGUAACUUUAUAGUACAAGGAUGGACGAUCUGUUACAGAGCACUUAAGUGAUUUUCAAGAUAUAUUUAAUCGGAUGACUACUAUGGAGCUUAAGAUAGAUGAUGAAAUGAAGGCGUUAUUUUUUUUGGGUUCAUUGCCAGACAGUUGGAAUACUCUAGUUAUGACUAUUCUUAAUUCAGCUUUUGAUUAUAAGAUGACAUUGGAGAUGGUAAAGAACAAUAUGUUUAAUGAAAAAGCAAGGUGAAAAGAUGUAGACCUUGGGAAUCAAGUUCUAGUCACAGAGAACAUGGGUAAAAACAUCGACAGAGGUCAGGACUCAAAAAAUCGUGGUAAGUCUAAACAUAGAUCCAAGUCUAGAGAUAAAGUGAAGUGUUUCUAUUGUGGUAAGGCAUGUCAUAUAAAAUGAAACUAUAAAAUCUUGAAGCAAGAGCGAAAAGAUGAGAAAGGUAAGAGUUCAGAUAAUGGUAAUGUUACAACAGUGAAUUCAAAUAGUGAUUCAGUUACUUUGAUUUGUAUACAUGGUGAUUAUAAUCAUGUUAGUGAUUUCGGCAUUGAGUGGAUAGUUGACACAGGAGCGACAUAUCAUUGUGUUUCUAAGAGAGAGUUGUUUAUAACUUACAAAGCAAGAGACUUUGGUUAUACCAGAUGGAAAAUAAGAGUGUGUCACAGAUUAUUGGGAUUGGUGAUAUUGUUGUAAAAACUAGUACAGGCUGCAUGUUGACUUUAAGGGAUGUUAGACACAUUCUAGAUAUGAGAAUGAACUUACUUGCUAUUAAUGUCCUUGAUAAGGAAGGAUAUGAAAGUCGACAAAAGAAUGGACAGUAGAAACUUCUCAAAGGAUCUAUGAUAGUUGCAAAAGAAAACUAUGCUGCACAAUGUAUAAAACAUGGAUGCAAUUGAAUGGUAACCAGGUAAAUGCCGUUGAAAAUGAUGCUUCAGCAAACUUGUGGCACAGGAAGCUGGCACACAUGAGUGAAAAAGAGUUACAGGUUUUGACAAGACAGUCUCUUAUUCCAUUGACCAAAGGUAUGUCUCUCGAUUCAUGUGAUUAUUGUUUGUUUGGUAAGCAUCAUAGAGUUUCUUUUCGUAAAAAUUUUCAGAGAAAAGAAAAUAGAUUGAAAUUAAUUUAUUCUAACGUAUGUGAUCCCAUUGAGGUUGAGUCAUUAGGUGGUAGCAGAUAUUUUAUUACUUUUAUUGAUGAUGUUUCACGUAAGACUUGAGUGUAUAUGUUGAAAUACAAAAGUUAGGUACUGUAGUAUUUUUAAAAAUUUCAUGCCAUGGUAGAAAGGAUGACAGGGUUAUCCUUGAAGUGUAUUCAACUGAUAAUGGUGGGAAAUACACAUCUAAAGGCUUUGAAGAGUAUUGUUUAAAGCAUGGGAUCAUGCAUAAAAUGACAGAACUUGGAAUACCACAGCAUAAUGGUAUAACUAAAAGAAUGAAUCGUACCAUUGUAAAAAAAGUCAGAUGUAUGUUGAGGAUGAUAAAAUUACCAAAGUCAUUCUGGGGUGAAGCAGUCAACACGAUUUGUUAUUUACUUAACAAUCACCAUUAGUUUUUUUGAGCUUUGACAUUCCAGAAAGAGUGUGGACAGAAAAAGAUACUUCAUACUCUCACUUAAAAAUUUUUGGGUGUAAAGCAUUCAUGUAUGUGUCGAAAGAGUAGAGAUUAAAGUUUGAUAGUAAAACCACAUAGUGUGUGUUUGUAUGAUAUGGUGAUGAGAAUUUUGGUUACAGGGAUAUGGAAUCUAGUAAAGAAAAAGACAGUCAGAAGUAAAGAUGUGGUCUUUCAUGAAAAAGAGACUAUAGUAGACCUUGAGAAAAAUGAGAAGACUACACGGGUUACUGUUGAGUGUGAUGUUUUAACACCGACAGAGAUUUCACAAGAAAGAGCCACAAAUGGUGAAAAUAAGUAAGAAACAGAACUUGGGAAUAUAAAUGAGCCAGUCACAGUUGGUGAUGAGCCAAAUACAAUUAGUUUUGAGCAAGGGGAGCAAUCCUAUCUACCUGAGAGUGUUAAGCAGGAGGAGUUACCUUUGGUAUCAAAUGAUGUAGAGUCUCAGCCCAGGAGAUCUACUAGAGAGCGUAAGUCAUCUACCAGGUAUCCAAGUUCAUAUUUUAUUUUAGUUACCAGUGAAGGGAAGCCAAAAAGCUUUCAAGAUGUGCAGGUUACUUCAGAUAGAGAGCACUGGUUAAAAGCAAUGAAAGAAAAGAUGGAGUCAUUGCGAAAAAAUAGUACUUAUGAUCUUGUUAAACUUCCAACAGAGAAGAGGCCAUUAAAGAAUAAAUGGGUAUUCAAGUUAAAAAAAGAUGGUGACAAACUAGUGAGGUACAAAGCUCGAUUGGUAGUAAAAGGUUUUUCUCAAAAACCAGGCAUCGAUUUUGAUAAGAUUUUUGCUUCAGUUGUAAAGAUGAGUUCUAUUCGAGUGGUACUGGAAUUAGCAGCUAGUUUGAAUCUUUAGCUUGAGCAACUUGAUGUUAAAACUAUAUUUUUGCAUGGUGAUUUAUAGGAGGACAUUUAUAUGAAUUAGUCUAAGAGUUUUAAAGUGAAAGGGAAAGAGCACUUAGUUUGUAAAUUGAAGAAAAGCUUGUAUGGCUUGAAACAAGCUUCGUAACAGUGGCACAAGAAGUUUGAUUCUUUUAUGGUGAGUUAUAGCUAUAAAAGAACAGCAACGGAUUCUUGUGUGUAUGUUAAAUAAUUUCCUAAUGGUAACUUCAUUAUCCUAUUAUUAUAUGUUGAUGAUAUGUUGAUUGUAAGACAAUAUGCUAGUAAGGUUUGUAGGUUGAAAGAACAAUUAUCUAAGUCCUUUGAUAUGAAAGAUUUAGGCCAGUAAAGUAGAUUCUUGGUAUGGACAUUAUCCGAGAUAGAAGAGUUGAAAAGCUGUGGUUGUCACAAGAAAAAUAUGUUGAACGAGUGCUUGAUAGAUUCAACAUGCAACAUACUAAAUCAGUUAGCAGUCCAUUUGCUAACCAUUUUCAUCUAAGUAAAAAAUCUUAUCCAGUGUCUAAGAAAGAGCAACUAGUUAUUCUAGUAUUUUUUAUUCUUUUGCAGUCGGUUCUUUAAUGUAUCUUAUAGUUUGUACAAGGCCUGACAUUGCUCAUGCAAUUGGUGUAGUGAGCAGAUUUCUUUCUAAUCCGAGAAAGGUUCACUAGAAAGUAAUGAAAUAAAUUUUUACAUAUUUGAGGGGUACCUCAAAAAUGUGCUUGACUUAUGGUGUAAUGCCCCCAAUCCCACAUCAGAAGGAUAUGUGGAUAAGAAAUAAUAUAUAUGUAGAGAUUUAAUCCCAAAUUUGUGAGGCACCUUUUGUAAGACAAAAUCGUGAGGCCAGGAGGGCCAGAGCAGAUAAUACCUCACAAAGGUGUAAAUCGUGAUGGUUAGGCUGAUCUGAGACGCUGGAAGGGUGAAUGCCCAGGUCCCAGAGUCACGCGGGUUCAGAGCUUAAGUCUCGACCCGUGACAAGUGGUAUCAGAGCGGUCACCAGUCCGCAGUCGUGAGAGUCACUAAGUGCUACACGGUGGAGCUGUGGGAAUCACUAAGUGUUACACGAUGGUCUGGUGUGAUCUUAAUCCUGUGGAUGGACUCGGCUUGACAGAGACGUCAAGCAUUAAAGGUGGGGAGAUUGUAACGCCUUCAAUCCCACAUCAGAAGGAUGUGUAGAUAAGGAAUGAUAUAUAUGUAGAGAUUUAAUCCCAAAUCUGUGAGGCACCUUUUGUAGGACAAAACUGUGAGGCUAGGGGGGCCAGAGCAGACAAUACCUCACAAGGAUGUGAAUCGUGGCGGUUAGGCUGAUCUAAGACACCGAAAAAGUGAAUGCUCGGGUUUCGGAGCCGCACGGAUUCGGAGCUUAAGUCUCGACUCGUGACAAGAAGCACCUCAAGGGAUAUUUGGCACUCGAAAAUCAUAAGUCUAACAGGAAAACUCCCACUUACCAAGCAACUUUUCAGUUUUUUUAAGCUCACCAAGCUUUACCAAUGAACCCAACAUCCUUAUGUAGUUUAUGUUGGUAUGCUUCCUACAUUUGGCCUUUUGAAGGUUUCCAACUAGCAUACAAUGAAAUCAAGUAGUCAUAGCCCAGUGCAUUUUUUCCUACUUUUUUCUCACAUUUCUUCAGAUAAUAAAGUGCCUUUUCAUUAAGACCCGCUUUUGUGUAGUAAUUUACCAUUAUGGAAUAAGUAUCCCAAUCCAUUUGAAUCUGUCCUUGGCAUUCAUCUUUUGUAGAACCUUGUCCACGCUAUUAUAGUUAGCUUUUAUCCCAUCAAAAUUUAUGCAAAUUCCAUAGCUGAACCUGUCAAGGGGUUCUCAAGUUGACCUGUGAUUGUCUAGAGGCACAUAAGGUUAUUGUAGUCAAAAGAAGAGGAAAGAAAACCCAUCUCUUUCAUCUUCUUCAUAAGGGAAAGGACUCAUCGAUGAGGCCUUCUUGAAUAUAGCAAUUUAGAAGAGCACCAUAGGUGUUGAUAAUUUUAUCUUGAUCUCUCAUACUGCUAAGGAAGUUCUACUUCUUUACGAAAUUUUGCCCAUGAAUUUUACGAAUUAGCCCAUAAAAACAUGGUGAAUUUCAAUAUCACUUCACCUACAUUGAAGAUUUUGUCUUUGGACAUAGAUUACAGAGAUAAUCUUUUUGAACCUAGUGAUGAAGACAAAGUUGAAGCACAUAUUUUUCUUCCAAUAUAUGGAACUCAACUCUUUCUAGCACUUAACAAUGUCAAGUGCCUUGAAUUGCAUGGGAAACUCUCUUUGGACACAUUGGUAAGAGACACUAACAAUGUUCUUUAUUACUGAAAUUAUAGAGUUUAUACUUAAUACAUUAUCAAUGAUUUUUUUUCUGUUCUUUAGACUACUAGAAUUUGAUUCUGGUCACUUCACUUAAACCAAGAGUCCAGCACAUGAUACAUUAAACUCUAAUACAUUAUCAGUGAAUUACUGUUUCUACUCUUUCAAACCUAAUAUGGUAAUGCUAGUUAUUGUCAAUGGUACCCAUUACUUACUAUUUCUCUUCUUUCAGGCACAUGAUUCUUUUCCUUUGUUUGUUAAUUUAACCCGACUGUUACUAUCAUGUGUUGAUGAAAUUAAAUGGGAUUUGCUAUCGUUCUUCCUUGAAAAUUCUCAUAAACUAGAAACUUUUAUAGUUCAUAAAAAGGAAAAUUUUACAUUGCUCUCACUGUAAAAAGACCACUCACUUGGAGAAAUAUUACUGGUACAAACUUGACAGACAAUGUAGGUAUUAAGCAGCUUGGUCACAUGGAAAAGGUAUGUAAAAAUAAAAAAUAGUAACAGCCAGAUCAACAAGCUAGAGUUGCUGACAAUCAACAACAGUUAGAAGAGCAAGUUUUUGUUGCAACUUGCUAUGGAACCAGAACAUCCUCAAGUGCAUGGCUCAUUAAUAGUGGCUACACACACCUUAUGGCAUCUGAUAUCAACAUGUUCAAAGAACUAGAAAAGACCUGUACCUUUAAAGUCAGAAUAGGUAAUGGUGAUUUCAUAGAAGUAAAAAAAAAAUGAGUAGUGGCAGUUAAGACACCAACAGGUACCAAACUCAUUUCAGAUGUGUUAUUUAUGCUUAAAAUAGAUCAAAAUCUGUUAAGUGUAUGACAAUUGCUAGAAAAUAACUACUCUUUAGUUUUCAAAGACAAGGCAUGCAUAAUUCAUGAUCCCACUGGCCAUCAACUCUUUACUGUUAAUAUGAAAGAAAAAUGUUUUUCCUUGAAUUGGCAUGAAGCAAACUCUUCUGCAUAUGCUACUUCACAUGAUGAAUCUUCUUUAUGGCAUAAAAGGAUGGGACAUUUCAACUACAAUGCAUUGAAUUUCAUGCAUAAAAAUGAUCUUGUAUUAAACAUGCCUACUGUUAAAGUUAGUGCUAGAGUGUGUGAAGUCUGUCAGCUAGGAAAACAAAAUAAGUUGCCAUUUGCAAUUAACAAAGCAUGGAGGGUAACUGAAAAAUUACAACUUGUUCAUACUGAUGUUUGUGGUCCUAUGAGAACCUUGUCCUUGAAUGGCAGUAAAUAUUUCAUUGCUUUUAUAGAUGAUUUUACCAGAAUAUGUUGGAUUUACUUCAUGAAACAAAAGUCUGAAGUUGUAAAUGUAUUUUGAAAGUUCAAGGCUUGGAUUGAGAAUCAAAGUGGCUGUAAAAUCAAGAUCAUAAGGUCAGACAAUGGUACUGAAUAUACAUCUAACAGAUUUAAUGAGUUUUGUGAAGUUACAAGAAUUGAACACCAACUAACAGUAACUUACACUCCACAACAAAAUGGAGUCAAUGAAAAGAAGAAUAAAAUAAUCAUGGAGAUGACAAGAUGCAUGCUAUUUAAGAAGAAUCUUCCUAAGAAAUUUUAGGCAGAGGCAGUCAAUACCUCUGUCUACUUGCUCAAUAGGAUGCCCACAAAAGGCUUUGAAGGAAAAACUCUUUUCGAAGCCUGGUAUGAAAGCAAACCAUCAGUGCACCACCUCAGAGUUUUUGGUAGCAUUUGUUAUGUGUUCGUUCUUGAUAUCAAAAGGGAUAAGCUUGAUCAAAAAGUAAAAAUAUGUAUUUUUUUGGGCUAUAGCAACAUCACCAAAGGCUAUAAGACUUACAAUCCACUUACAGGUAAGAUGAUUGUAAGUAGAAAUGUGAGAUUUAAUGAGCAAGCUGCUUGAAAUUGAAAAAAGUCAAAGAAAGAAUCAGUCAAGCAAACUACUGCAGACAUGAUAAGCUUUCAAGAUCAAGAAGAUUAUAUGUUUGAAAAUGAAAUCAUUGAUCAUGAACCAGUGAGAGGAAUAAGACCACUCACAGAUAUUUAUCAAAGAUCAAAUGUUACCAUUCUUGAACCUGCAAACUUUGAAGAAGCUGUCAAAUUUUCAGAGUGAAAGAAUGCCAUGAAAGAGGAGUUUCAUAUAAUUGAAAAAAAUCAAACAUGGAUGCUGAUUGAUAGAUUAAGCAACAAAAACAUCAUUUGUGUUAAAUGGAUUUUCAUAACAAAGUUGAAUGCUGAUGGUUCCAUCAACAAACUUAAAGCUAGAUUGGUAGCUAAAGGCUACUCCCAACAGUUUGGUAUUGAUUUUUCAAAGACAUUUGCUCCAGUUGCAAGGUUGGACACUAUAAGGCUGCUAUUAGCCUUAGCAACUCAGCAAAGUUAGAAAAUAUACCAACUUGAUAUCAAAUCUGCCUUCUUGAAUGGUUAUCUUGAUGAUGAGAUUUACAUUAAACAACCUAAUGGUUUUGUUGCCAAGGGACAUGAAGGCAAAGUCUAUCUACUCAAGAAAGCUUUGUAUGGAUUAAAACAAGCUCCAAGAGUGUGGAAUUCCAGAAUUGAUGAUCAUUUACUAAAGUUAGGAUUCAAGAAAAGCCUCAGUGAAGCAGCAUUGUGCAUUAAAGCUUUUAACAGUAAUGAUCUGUUGAUUGUUUCUUUGUAUGUUGAUGAUCUUUUGGUGACAGGUAGCAAAUCAGUUCUUGUGAAGGAUUUUAAGCUCCAAAUACAAAAAUUUUUGAGAUGACAGAUAUGAGAGAAAUGUCUUAUUUUCUUGGAAUGGAGAUUCAUCAAGACUAGCAAGGAAUCUUCAUUUGUGAAAGAAAAUAUGCAAAUGAAAUCCUGAAUAAGUUUGGGAUGAAAAAUUGCAAACUAGUCAACACUCCUUUAGCUCAAAAUGAGAAACUUAUUAAGGAAGAUAGAGCUAACAAAGUUGAUGGUUCUAUUUAUAGAAGUUUGGUUGGUUGCUUAUUGUAUUUGACAGCAACAAGGCCAGACAUCAUGUAUGCUAUACAUUUACUCUUUAGGUUCAUGCAAAAUCCUAGUGAGUUACAUUUUAAGGCUACAAAAAGAGUGUUGAGAUAUGUCAAAGGAACCAAUGAACUUGGAAUUUGGUUUAAGAAGAAUGAAAGUUCAAGAUUGGUUGGAUUCACAGACAAUGAUUGGGUUGGCUCUCAUAAAGAUAUGAAAAGCACUUCAGGCUAUGUGUUUUUCAUUGGAUUAAAUGUGUUCAGCUGGAAUCCAAAAAAACAAGGAAUUGUGGCUCAAUCAACAGUAGAAGCAGAGUAUAUAGCUGCUGCAGUUGCUGUUAAUCAAGCAAUUUGGCUAAGAAAAAUUCUAAUGGAUUUGAGUCAAAAGCAAAAUGAUCCAACAUAAAUUUUUUGUGAUAAUCAGUCAGCAGUUGCAAUGGUCAAGAACCUUGUGUUUCAUAGAAGAACUAAGCAUAUUAAGAUCAAGUAUCACUUUAUUAGAGAAGUUGAAGCUGAGAAUGAAGUGAAACUGAUGCAUUGCAAGUCAGAAGAUCAAAUUGCAAAUAUUUUGACCAAGGCCUUACCAAAGGCAAGGAUUGAAACAUUAAGGAAAAGUCUUGGCGUUUCCAGUAAAAAUGCCAAGGAGGAGUGUUAGUAUGUUAGUGGUUAAAGCAACUAGGUAUGGCAUUUCUACUGGCACUUUUGUAACAGGUUCUGCCAUCUGAUCAGUUUAGGUAACAUGAUGGAUCUGUGCAUGGUGAUCAAUAUUGUUAGGCAAACAACUUUUGUAGUAAUUAAACAAACUUUUGUAUUUUUGAAGCCUAUAAAUUAAUGAAAUGAAGCUCAUGAUCUAAUGAGCCAAAUUUACUUCAAGUGACAGAUUAGUUUCUUCUAUUUUUUGUUCUUCCUCUGCUCUAAAUCCUUCAUGGUGUCACUCUUCUUCAAAAUUCUCAAAAACUAGAAAAUCCAGUAGUUCGUAAUAAAGUUAGUUGAAUACAGACAUGGAUUGCAAAACCGGAGAUCUUAUGUAUGAGUUGAGCUUUCUUUGACUCUAGAUAUUCACUAGCAAUAGGUGAGAAUGCCAUCAGACACGGUCAAAAGUGUCAUGAAUCAAUGUUGACUGUGUAUUAGAUAUAAGUAUUCAUACUAUUUUUAACUUGUAAUUUUUUUUUAUAAGAUAAAACGGAUAAUAUUUUACAAAAUCGGUGUGAUGUGAACCAUGACACAAAUAUGUACAUUGAUAUGUGUCUCUUAUCAAGUCUAACAAAAGUACGUGUAUUAAUGUUAGCUUAUAACUUUUCUAUAUUGAUCAUGUUUGAAUAUUGUAUGAAGAUAUAGUGAUAACUUUUAAGAGUAGACGAUGGGCUCAACUACUAAAUCUUACGUACUUACAUGGAAGAUCAUAUUAAUUGUCGGUAUAUCUGUCUGCUCUAGGUUGGAGAUGAGCAGAACCAAAGCAUGAUUCAAAAUGUUUUUCUUCUUGGUCAUACCUCGAAACUGUUUGUAUUAGAAAAGUUGUAAGGUUCGAACAUGAGCUAGGAUUGAUAGAGCACAUAGAGCCUUGAAUACAAUGACAAUCUGGAGCUAUGGUUUCUUUUCGGCUUCAGAUUUCCUUGUUCACAACAAUUUAUCAACGAUCCAAAGGUGCUCUGAGACUUGUAAACUUGAAUUCAAAUGUCAAAAAUCAGCAGUCCUAAAUUCCCCGGCCCCUUACUGAUGUAAUAAAAUCUUCUGUUGCAUAUAUAUGACACUUAAUAAUUGAGUCUAACUUGAUAUUAUUGAUAUUCUUAUUUGGUUAUCUUGGCUGUAACACAUCUCAUGAGAGUGUCCAACUUUGGAGUUUGAUUUUCAAUUUCUCAAGAUGCUCUAGUCACUAAUCCUUGAAAUAUUCUUGAAACCAGUGUUACAGGCUUAAAAACUGUGUAAACAUGUCAUUGAAUCGCCAGAGAAUUAAACCUCGAAGUAGCCCUAAAUCUCACCACCUGAUCAUUCAGAACAAAACAUAUGGAUUCAAGGAGAAAACCAUCCCACAUCGCUUCAAAACCAGAUACCCCUUGUUAUUUAUAUGUUCUAAACUCAUAUCACGUCGGUAAGGUGAUGGAACGGUAGGCUCUUCUCCACAAAGUCGCAUUUCGGGCGGUUAUCUGGCUUGUCGAUCUAUGCAUGGAGUUGAACAAUAAUAAGAACCCGAAUACUUAAAUGCACAAGAGGGAGUUGAACAAUCAUGCAAUGAGACCCCUAUUACCUAAUGCACGAUAGGAGCAAUAUGUGGGGAGGAGCCGCAAGAGGAGUUGAACAAUCAUGCAAUGAGACCCCUACCUAUGCAUAAUAGGAGCAAUGUGUGCGGAGGAGUCGCGACCUCCCUCGACCUCCCUCCCACACUAAACGUGGAAGGCUAAUUGCAAGUCAGUGCCCUCUGAAAGAGGAUGACUCUGUGGGUGGUUCUCCUAACUGUUCCAUCACCUUUUUUUUUUUUUUUUCCUUUUUCGGCAUUUUAAGUGUUCAAACGAUAAAAAAUUUAUGAAAAACAUAUAUAGACAAAUAGAUUAUUGAUCUAAUCACAUAUUGCUGUUAUUUUCUUUAUUUUAUUUUCUUAUGAAAAAAAUUAAAAAAAAAACCAAAUAUAUUAACAAUGACGAAGUAUAAAAUGAUCGUUCUAAAACUUUCAACACAGCAAGUUCAAGUUAUAGAUCAUUAUUUGAUCAGAUUGACAGCUAAAUAAUUCUGUACCGUCCACCAUCGAUACUUCAGGUAGUUAUAAUUACAACUCUAUCAGUGGCUAAGUGUGGCUUGAUGUGCCAGUAUUAUGUAUCCUGACAUUGAAAACCACUUAGGAGUUUUGCCCUCGAAGGCCAAAAUUCUUCAUGGUUUCCUCAUCUUCAUCUAUUUUAUGGUCCUUCAUGCUCUCCAAGAGCCCCUCCAGUUCUUUGCCAUUUCUGAUUAUCGCCUUCAAGAGAGCAUGAUACAUAUCUCUAUUUGCUGGAACCUUAGUUUCUCAAUAAUUUCACAAAAGCUUCUGCUCUUCAACUUCUCCAUUCUCACCUAGCCAACUCAAUAUGCUAGAUAUGUAUUAAAAUUGAUUUUGGACUCUAAUAUAUAUAUAUAUAUAUAUAUAUAAAUAUCUAUAUAUUUUGGGCCUGUAGAGCAAGAGCUUCCUUAAAGCACUUAAAAGCCUUCUCCAUAAUGUUGUUAUCCGCGUAUCGAGCUGCAACAAUAGGCCAACUGAUUGGACUUGCAGUCUUCCUUCUCUUCAUUAUAUCCUGUAGCUUUGCUUCGGCCUUCUUUCUUACAAUAUCCAAUAAGAAGGACAUUUGGCACUUGGAAAUCAUAAGUCUUCCAGGACAACUCCCACUUAUAAAGCAACUUUUCAGUUUCUUCAAGCUCACCAAGCUUCAUCAAUGAACCCAGCAUCCUUAUGUAGUUUAUGCUGGUAUGUUUCCUACAUUUGACCUUUUGAAGGUUCCCAAACUAGGAUACAAUGAAAUCAAGUGGUCAUAACCUAGUCCAUUUUUACCUACUUUUUUCUCACAUUCCUUGAGAUAAUGAAGUGCCUUUUCAUUAAGACCUGCUUUUAUGUAGUAGUUUGACAUUAUGGAAUAAGUAUCCCAAUCCAUUUGAAUCUGCCCUUGGCAUUCCAUCUCUUGUAGAACCUUGUCCACGCUAUUGUAAUCAGCUCUUGUCGCAUCAGAAUUUAUGCAAAUUCUAUAGCUGAACCUGUCGGGAUUUUCAAGUUGACCUGUGAUUGUCUAGAGGCACAUAAGGUUAUUGUAGUCAAGAGAAGAGGAAAGAAAACCCAUCUCCUUCAUCUUCUUCAUAAGGGAAAGGGCCUCGUCGAUCAGGCCUUCUUGAACAUAGCAAUUUAGAAGAGCACCGUAGGUGUUGACAGUUUUAUCUUGGUCUCUCAUGCUGCCAAAGAAGUUCGGAACUUUGCCCAUGAACUCUACCAAUUAGCCCAUAAAAACAUGGUGAAUUUCAAUAUCACUUCACCUACAUUGAAGACUUUGUCUCUGGACAUAGGUUACAGAGAUAAUCAUUUUGAAACUCGUGAUGAAGACAAGGUUGAAGCACGUAUUUUUCUUCCAAUAUAUGGAACUCAUCUCUUCCUAGCACUUAACAAUGUCAAGUGUCCUGAUUGCGUGGGAAACUCCCUUUGGACACACUGGUAAGAGACACUAACAAUGUUCUUUAUUACUGAAAUUAUAGAGUUUAUACUUAAUACAUUAUCAAUGAUUUUUUUUUUCUGUGCUUUAGACUGCUAGAAUUUGAUUCUGGUCACUUCACUUAAACCAAGAGUCCAGCACAUGAUACAUUAAACUCUAAUACAUUAUCAGUGAAUUACUGUUUCUACUCUAUCAAACCUAAUAUGGUAAUGCUAGUUAUUGUCAAUGGUACCCACUACUUACUAUUUCUCUUCUUUCAGGCACAUGAUUCUUUUCCUUUGUUCGUUAAUUUAACCCGACUGUUGCUAUCAUGUGUUGAUGAAAUUAAAUGGGAUCUGCUAUCGCUCUUCCUUGAAAAUUCUCAUAAACUAGAAACUUUUAUAGUUCAUAAUAAGGUCAGUUGAAUAUAGACAAAACUUUUCUAAUUCUUCCUAAACUAUGAUCUUACGUAUGAGUUGUGAUGUCUUUUGUCUCCAGAUAUUCACUAGCAAUGGGUGUGAAAGCCAGUGGACACAGCCAAGGGAUGUCCCUAUAUGUAUUUUGUCAAGUCCAACAGGGUAUGUUUUAAAAUUUUGGAAGGAUUGAAAGAUGAACUGAAAAUGGUAGGGUACUUUUUACCGAAUGCUAGAUUGUUGAGGACAACGGAAAUCUAAACCAAUAAUCAGUCUUCAGGUUCAAAUAUUCGUGAUGCUAUUGCUAAAGUGUUGUGGACAAGGGAAACCUACACCAGUAAUCAGUCUUCAGGUUCAAGAUUCGCAGUUUCAAGAGACAACUUUCAAUGUUGCCAGGGUUCUCGGAGACUUGUGUUUCUGUUAACUCAUUUAAUCAUUGGAAAAUUAAAAAAUUUCUAUUAAAUUUGAGAUGGAUAUUCUUAUUAUUCAUUAGUGUUGGCACAAAUAUAUGUUCCUUUGCUUGAUUAUCUGAUGUGAAUAUUUGGCAUGAAAAAGUUUUGAAUUAAGUCAAACAUACAUCGAACAUAUAUGAAUGCAUUCAUAGCAAUUUUUCUUUGCAAAACGAGCUGAAUAUUUGACAUAAAAAGAUUAUUGUUUAAACCAUAGUUUUAGUCUAAGAUGGAGCUGUGAAAUGUGAACAGUUAUAUGAAAUAAAAGUUAAAUUAUAGCAUAUUUGAAAGCGCUAGUAUAUGUUAUAACAUUUCCUACUCAAGUUUUUUUUAUGUAUUGAUAUUAAUCAAUGAAUUUAUAAAUGCAUGGCCAAAUGGGAAAAAAAACAUUUUAGAAUUAUGAUUAUAGAAUUGCUCAUUUUUACUCUCUUUCUCUGUUUGGUAGGCACAGGCCCAUCUCACUCAUCACCGGUGCCUCUUUGGUACAGUUAGCAGGGACUGUCUCUUUCUAUGCAAGCUGACUAUUGGAGAGGGUUCAAAUGGUUUUUGUUCAUAGGAAGGGCGAGCAGGGUUCAUAGUUGAUCUUGAAUCCAUUUUGGACUUUAGAUAUAUAGAUUUAGGGUUCACUAUUUAGGGUUUAGGGUUUAGAUAUAAACUGCUAUUAUGUUAUAUUAGCCAGACCAAUUGAUCCUAACUGGCGAGGCUCACAGCCUUUUUUGUUUUUUUUGUUUUAAAUAAGUAUUAAGUAAUUAAAACAUCUUGCUUUUGGGAGCAAAUGAAGUAGCAAGUGUCUCUCUCUUUUCCAUUUGUUUGUUAAUUGGUCAUGACAGCUGAGGUGUGGUAUCACUCUUCCUUCAAAAUUCUCAUAAACUAGAAACUCCUGUAGUUCGUAAUAAAGUCGGUUGAAUAUAGACAUGGAUUGCAAAACCUGAGAUCAUAUGUAUGAGUUGUGCUUUCGUUGACUCUAGAUAUUCACUAGCAAUAGGUGAGAAUGCCAUCAGACACAGCCAAAAGUGUCAUGGUCAUUGGAGGAGACAUGAAUCAACGUUGACUAUGAACUAGAGAUAAAUAUAACUAUUCACACUACUUUCAACUUGUGAUAUGUUUUUUUAUAAGAUAAAACGGAUAAUAUUUUACAAAGUCGGUGUGAUGUGAACCAUGACACAAACAUGUACACUGAUGUGUCUCUUAUCAAGUCUAGCAAAAGUACGUAUGUAUUAAUGUUAGCUUAUAACUUUUCUAUAUUGAUCAUGCUUUGAAUAUUGCAUGAAGAUACAGUAAAAACUUUUAAGAGUAGACGAUGGGCUCAACUACUAAAUCUUACGUACUUGCAUUAAAGAUCAAACUAAUUGUUAGUAUAUCUGUCUGCCCUAGGUUGGAGAUGAACAGCACCAAAGCAUGAUUCAAAAUUUUUUUUGUUUUUUUGGUCAUACCUCGAAACUAUUUGUAUUAGAAAAGUUGUAAGGUUGGAACAUGAGCUCGGAUUGAUAGAACACAUAGGGCCUUGAAUACAAUGACAAUCUGGAGCUAUGGUUUCUUUUCGGCUUCAGAUUUCCUUCUUCACAACAAUUUAUCAAUGAUUCAAAGGUGCUCUGAGACUCGUAAACUUGAAUUCAAAUGUGAAGAAUCAGCAGUCCUAAAAUUUCCCGGCCCCUUACUGAUGUAAUAAAAUCUUCUGUUGCAUAUAUAUGACACUUAAUAAUUAAGUCUAACUUAAUAUUAUUGAUAUUCUUAUUUGGUUAUCUUGGCUGUAACACAUCUCAUGAGAAUGUCCAACUUUGGAGUUUGAUUUUCGAUUUCUUAAGACUCUCCAGUCACUAAUCCUUGAAGUAUUCUUGAAACCAGUGUUACAGGCUUAAAAACAAUGUAAACAUGUCAUUGAAUCGCCAGAGAAUUAAACUUCGAAGUAGCCCUAAAUCUCACCACCUGAUCAGUCAGAACAAAACAUAUGGAUUAAAGGAGAAAACCAUCCCACAUCGCUUCAAAACAAGAUACCCCUUGUUAUUUAUAUAUUCUAAACUCAAAUCAGAUCAGCAAGGUGAUGGAACGGUAGGCUCUCCUCCACGGGGUCGGAUUUCGGGUGGUUAUUUGGCUUGCCGAUCUAUACAUGGAGUUGAACAAUACGAACCCUAUUACCUAUGUACAGGAGGAGUUGAACAAUUAGACAAUGAGACCCGUAUGCACAGAGGAGCAAUGUGUGUGGAGGAGCCGCCCCCCUCCCACACUAAGCGUGGAAGGCUAAUUGCAAGACAGUGCCCUCUGAAAGAGGAUGGCUCUGUGGGUGGUUCUCCUACUGAUCCAUCACCUUUUUUUUCCUUUUUCGGCAUUUCAAGUGUUCAAAC